AAUGUGUGAAUGGGUCAAUGGGGAAGUGAUUUUUCUUGGACUUUGGAUAGAGAAUGAGGUCAUGUCCAACAACAUACUAAUGAAUGUGCUUAGUUUGAGGCCCAAAUUAUAUAUAUGUCUCUUGAAAAAUAAAAUAAAAUGGUAAGAAAGUUUAUGUGCUGCUUGUUGCAUGUGAGAGACAGUAUGAAGCAAGGAAUUAUGGAAAGUUUGAUGAGGACGUUUAAAAGUUUGUUAAAUGGAGAAGAAUAGAAUUUUCUAUGAGGUGCAAAAUGAGUGGAACCAAAGAAAAGUAUUGACGGUUUACUUUGACGGUUCAACUUCGGAAGCAACCAACAAGAACAAGGAAAAAACUUGACAUUCCAGUGAUUCAUGGGAGAUAGUUGUUCAGGUUUUUUUUUACCUCAAUUUGCGGUAAAUUUUAGUCAUAUAAGAAAUGGAAAUUUUCACUUUAAGGACAAAUGGAUGACCAGUUGACCAAUAACUGGGAAUAUCAUAAAUUAUAAGUUUAGGGAGUGCUCUUUUGUAAUCUUUCAUCAAAGCCUCCUUUUACAAGAAAUCGUCAAGUGUUGACCGUGAACGACUUUUAAAACAAGGUAUAAUACGUUACAUAAAACUCAUAAUAAUGUGUUCAACUGUAAUUGGAAGAAAUUCUCACAUAAAAAAGUGUCUGUUCUGUGUGUUCGAUCAGGCUCAUGCAGACAGGUGCUACCCAAGUUAGAAGUUUUUAUUAUUCGUAAAAAUAUAUAAUAGUAGGAUAGAACUCAUUUUAUUAUAGAAUAAUAGGUCCAAUUAAAUUCCUAAGAGAACUUCAGUUCAGAAUUAAUUGUUUACAAAUAUCAUCUAGAUGUUCAGUGAAGAGAAUAAGCGUUUGAUCAUUCAAUGUAGGACAGAUUACAGUUACUACACAAACGUUUUUUAAAUCCUCAUGAAUUAGUUAAAAAUAUCUUAUAGGAAGAAACCAAGCAAAUAUCAAAGCAAUUAGUAUUUGACUCUCAUUUUUCUCUUGAAGACUUAACGGGCCGUGGUCAAAAACCAGUGUGUGAGGAAACCGUCUAAUAAGGCGUUUAUUAAGGCGCACCUCAUGUUUUACAUCACAAUCAAAACCGGUUUCUGUGUGCCGUCUCAUUAAAGCCAUGGAACCCCAAAAGGUUAAUGUAAUUGGAAAAUAUUGCACUAAAUCUAAAAUUAUGGGGGAUAAUUAAAUCUGUUAAUUUUGAGGCAAAGUCAAUUACAAUUCUAGCACUUUGAGUACGUUAGCAGAGAACAAAAGUCAAGUAUAAUUUUUCGGUUUUUUUUAGAAAAAAAAAAAACUUGUAGAGAUUUGCCGAUCAAAUGGAAAACUAGAAUUUCGGUUCUCUUAAUGAAAUGAAAAGACAGGAAAUGCAACAUAGGCAAUUACGAAAUGUUAGAUUAAAUAGGAAGUAAAAGACGACGCACUGACCUUGCUUGGUAUUCUGCGGCGAUGAAAUACAGAACUUUGAGGCACUGUGUCAUUGAAAGAAGGAUGGGAAUGGACAUAGAUGGAAUAGAAGCCUUCAUUUCCUUUGAAGAAUCUCUCCCACAAUGGACCCAAAAGGACAGGCCCUUUUGUCAAAAACAUGAAUGCAACCUUUGGGGUGUGUUUGUAAGGCAUUUCCUUAAUCGUAGGAACCAUAGAAGCUCUCCACAGCAACUCUUCCUCUGUCAUGUCAUGCAUAGCCUUGGUGACUUGUGUCUGAUUAUUUAACGUUGAGAUGGGAAUUGGAGUAGACAAAGAUGGAAGGAAGUUGAGGGACAAGUUUUUGAAAGAGAAAGUGGUGAGGGUGAUUCCAAUGAGCAAACCAGAGGCAAAUACUAGAACAUGAGAGACGAAGAAACUGAACAUGUGUGAUUGAGCAUGACUCAAGAGUCUGGCUGCAGCAAGGGACCGUUCUUGCUGGUUAUUCUUCAUGCUGCUAUGCUAUUGCCUAUUGGAUCGAUGAUGACCAACGAGAAAUUAAAAUAGAUGUUGCACACACAUACUUAAAUUCAUCCCAAAAAUCAUCUAUAUUCUGCAUUUGACUUCAGCUUGUCAAUUUUCAUUCCUAUACACUACUCUCUCGCCCAUUUUGUUUGACGCUAUUUUUAUGUUUUUCCAUUUAUUUUACAAUACUAAUUAAGUAUUCAAUAUCUUUUUCCUGUUAUAUUCUGAACCAUUUAUUGUCAAAUGAAAAGAUAAAAUAGAAAUAUAAAUGAGGGACUAUGAUCAAUUUAUAAUAAUUUUCAUCAAAUCUAAAAUAUUAACUGUAUUUCUUAAUUUUUGUAUGAAAACCUUACAUGUCAAAGAAAUUUAUAAGUAGUUUCUAAAUACAGAAUAUACGAGAAAUAUUAUACUUCUAUUUUUAACACAUACUUUUGGUAAGGUUUAACAAACAGACCGAAAGUAUAUUUAAGUCACAAUAAAAAAUAUUAAAUAUUAAUAAAUAUACACUAAUAAUAUUAAAAUUAGUUUUAAAAUAUAAAAUAAUAAAAGUACAAGUUAUUAACGUAUCAAUAAAUGUUAUCGGUUUAAGUUAUUAAAGUAUCAAUAUAAAUUAACUUUUAAUUAUUAAUUCACAUUUAUUAAUAUUAAAUAAUUCAUUUUUAAUUUAAAUAUUAUAUUUAUUAAUUCAUAUGCAUUAAUGUUUAAAAUUAUCAUUUUCUAUUUAUUAAUUUAUUAGUUUUUAAUAAAUUUGAAUUUAUAAUUUAUCAGUAUUUAAAAUUUUAUUUAUUAAUAUUUCGUAUUGUUAGUACAUGUUAAUUAAUAAAUAUAAAUUAAGUUACACAUAGUGUCAAUAAUUUAUUUAGUAAUUAAAACAUCAAAGAGUAGGAGGUGUAAAUGUUUGACCACGACUGACAACUUUUUAUCAAGAUUCCUCUCACUUUAAAUUUUUUUUUUUUUUUUUAACUGCCAAAGAUAAUAUUAUAUAUAUGAUAAGAAUAGUACCAGAAGUACUACAAGGAAACAAAGGAUAUAGUAACUCCUAAAACACAAGAACAUAACCAGCAAAUAACAAGCGAACAAAGAAUAACAAUGCCCAACCCUACAAAUCACACACUAGGUAAAAGACAAAGACAUAGUUGAGGACCAUUGGUGAAAAGGAACAUUGAAGUCCUUUUCCCACCCUCUCACUUUAAAUUUAACAAACAGUUUAUAUGUUAUGCAGUAAACUAUAUCAUAGAACCUUUAUAGGACCAUAAAAAUCACUUCAUUUGGAUCAGUACAAUAGAAAAUCUCGUCCACUCAAUAAUGACUUGAAUAGCUCUAACUUUGUCACACACACACAGUCACACAAACUGCAUGAAGCAUACCUUCAUCCAUAGAAUAUCUUGUUAAUGCAUCAUAACAAUCAUUUAUAAUAAAAUGAUGUUAAAGACAGUGAACAACUGAACAUAAAUUACCACCAACAAAGUAUAACUUCAUUCCAACAACGAAGAAGGAUGUAGAUUAACAGCACCGGCUAUGCUGUGUUUGAAUAUCUGUUGAGUUUCUCUCAACAGGCAUUGAUUUCAUUCCAUGCUUUUCUGUUCAACUGACUAGUAAGAAUAGCUUCAUCCAUAUUUUUAUUCUAUAGUUUCCAAGUGUCUACAUAGUUUUCAUUAUACAGUCUUCAUUCAUAAUUUUCCAACUAAACCAGUUAUAUUUCUCAAGUCUCCUAGUCGACUCUUUUCAACUCAACAUUACUCUCCACCAAAGAUUUCUGUACUUGUUUUAUGCUCAAAACAUAAGUAAGGUUCCUAGCUGAUCAUAAAUAACCAAAAGAAGGAUAAAAAAUCAAACUACAAUCAUAAGUUUAAUCAUUUCAGCACCACUGCUGCAUAAAAUAAUAAGAAUUACACAGAGGCGACCAUAAUACCAGCAUGAUGAGCUCCUAUAAUACAAACCAACAAAAUCAUAGAAUUUGAAAACUUAGAAGUCUAGAACAGAUUUCAUAUAAGCAUCUCAAAUUCUCAAUUACUAAGCUAGAGUUUGUGAAACCACGAGAUUGUGAAGAGAAUGAAAAUCAUAGCCGUGGCAGAAAUUGAGAUGUAAGCAAUUCAAAUCAGAAAGAUGAAACAUGCAAGCAAGGGUUUAACGAGAAUUUCGUGUAUGUUUUUUGUAUUGCUAAAAUAACCAAACAGGGUGCUUUUAAUGGAAAGGAUUUUAAAUCCUCUUAAAUUUACAUUUCUCCCCUGAAAUACCUAAUCCAAACCUAGCAUAAAUGUUUGUAAUAUUUGUCAUAUAAAGUUAAACUUGCAUGCUUACAUCUUUCUAAUGGUUUCCUUUUCUAUCUAACAAUAUUUAAACUGUUUGAAUAAUGAAUAUUUCUGAUGGAAAUGUAUUUUUUACAGGAUUUGAAAUACUUUGCCAAAUGCCACAAUAUACGUUGGUUGGAUAUCAGACAAGUCAAAAUGCUAGCCUCAAUAAUUUAAAAACAUUUAGCUUGAGAAUUUCCAGAAACAAGGCUAUAACUUAAUGGAAAAGGAUUCAAUAAUAAUUCCUUCAUGUAUCUAGAAAAGGGCUGCCAAACAACAUCCAACUUGAAAAUUUACUUAUUAAAUAUGCUCAUUCUGUGACAUGUAGGGCCAAAAACAGACAAGGAAGAAAUAUAGUAUGAAGAAAUCAUAAACAAUGACAAAAAAUGUGAAAAAUCUACAGAACUAACUUAAGGGCUCAGCACUAAGAAUACACAACAUGUAAACAGCCUCAGUCAAUAGCAAGAGGUGACGAGAAAUAAAAAUCAAUCCUUUAAUGCUACAAAAGAAAAUCUGGAAUUACUGGGGUUUGAGAAACCACAUUUAAGGGUGACUUUGCUCUUUGAUGAGUUUUUCGCCUCCCAUGGCGGUGGCCACUCUUUUUCUUUUCCCUCUGAUCAUGCUCUUCCCCCUCAACAAUCUUUUCUUUUCCUUGGUGUCUUCUCUCUUUAGUAUGACUAUGACCAUGAUUUUUGCUACUUGAAUUUGGGUUUUCAAGUUCAGGAUUUUCUGCAUCAACUACAUUUUUCUUCAUUUCAGAUCGAACACGUGUGCUUAGUUUCUUUUUCUCUUUCUUCCUUGAUGACUUAUCAGAAGGACUGCUUCCAGACAUACUUGGUCUGGUUUCGCUUCCUAGAAGAGCAUCUUUUAUGGCACCAGAAAGAGAAUCAUCCAAUGGCUCUGGUCUUUUGACUGUAAUUGGUGCCACAUCUCCAUCAUCCAAUCUCACCACUACAGGCCUGGGCUUUGUUUGGUUUGUCCUUUUCUUGAGAAGAAGUGAUUGCUCUGUCAGCUUGACUAGCUCUGCAGCUUCAUCAUUUAUAUUACUGUUAGACUUUGGAUCAUUUGCAGGAGGAUACUCAUCUGAAACAAUCUCACUCUUCUCCGAAGGAAGAUAAUAUAAUCCAUGCCGCUUACGGUGCUCAAUCAAGGAUGUGGAUUCCUUCAAUGGCCCUGACUCUUCAUUUUUCAGAAGAUUAGAUGAAGAAGCAUCCAAAGUAGUGGUAAGGUGAGGACCUCCUGCGCCAAACAAACUUGAUGAAGGUAGUUCAAUAUCACCACAUAUUGCUUGUAAGUCAUCUAGAUUUUCUUCAAGAACUAAUCCAUCCGGCAAAACAAUUCUUCCCUGUGCACUUGUUGAGACUGGACCAAGUUCCGUAGUAAAAGCAUCACGCAACAAAUUGAUAAUAGCCGUAACUCGAGUAUCUUUCUUGUUCACAAUGUCCACCACACUCUGGACUGAAUUAUCAAUUAUUUCUUCUUUAACCAACUGAACAAGGGAAAGUAUGUUUCGUGCUCUCUCCAGCACUUCAACAUCCUGGUUUGAUAUUAGCGGGCCAAGAAUUAAUUCAAUUCGAUUCAAUAGGUUUACAAUAGAUUCAUGCAUGGAAUUUUUGUUCACUGAGAGAGUAGGAGGUGUAGAUGUUUGACCAUGAGGGGCUACUCUAUCUACAUCAUUUUCAACUGAAAGAUCCUCAGAAGAUUCAGUUGCAUUCCUUGGGUUAAAAUCCCCAUGAUGUUCAUAAUUUGAUCCUUCACACAUUGCUAAUUCAGCAGCCUCAGUGUCAUUUUUUACACUAAACAAAUCUGACUGUCCCCCAGCCAAAUGAUCAGAAUACCAAGAUGCAGAACCUUCAUUUUGAUGAAAGUAACAGUCCAGGCAAAAAAUUAAAAUUUUAAGAGCAGAAUUAAUAUAAACUGCUCUUAUUGAUGGUGGCAAGAGACUGGUUCGAGGCUGUAGGAGUGCAUCCAUGAGUUCAAAGGGAUUGCUCGCAACCUCAACGUACUCUCCAGCAACCCAAGCAGCAGCACACAAUAUCCUAUGCAAGUGCACAUUACCCAGUAAUGCAGGGUCAAUCAACAGAUCACGCCCAACCCGAACAAGCUGCAUUCUAGCAUCCUUAACUCUCAUACCAAUAUCAACGAGCUGAGUCUCAAUCUCUUCCCCCUUUAUGCAAUUAGGAAUCAUCGCCAUUUCUCCAAGAAGAGACACAUACCAAUCAAAGUCAACAACAAUCUCGUACACAUUUCUAGAACACGUCAUCAAAAUGGAACCCAAAAUCUCAUUACAAAAUUCUGGGUCAGACUUCAAUGCAUAAUUAAGCAACACCCUGGAGAUAUCUGCCACAUGGCUCUCAGACACCAUGGCCAUCAACAAUCGCAGUGACUCAAUCUUGAUAUUCGAAUCAUCAUCACUCAACGACUUAACCACCGCCUCCUUAUUCUCCAUCACCGCCCACAAGUGCUCGGGCGCAGCAACCGAAAGCGCCUGCAGGCCAAGAUACCUAAGAUUGGGAUCCUGAUCAACCAACAACUCCCUAACCUUCUCAACAGCGAGCUUAACAGCAGACUCAUAACCACUCAAGCUAGUGAGCACAGUCCUAACACACUCAAACACCAAGGACUUGGCCCCUGACCGCCUCAUAUGGUCACAAACAGGCUCAACAAUUCUCUUCCCCAAUCUAGGUUCCAAGGGAGCCAACUUAGCAAACACCUUCAGCACCUUAAUCAAAACCCAAUUGUUCUUAGAAUCAACCAAAAUCCUAUAGAACUCGGGCGCCAAGGGAAGAUACGACUUAGGAUCCUUGGCAGCCAGCUCGCAGAAAACCCCGACCACGGCGGUCACAACCUGAGGAUCAGAACUUUCAAGAUUCUCAACCAAACGCUUGAAGCAAACCCUAACCGCAUCGGGGUACUUAUCGAAAACCCUCAAAACGACGGCGAUUGCCUUCUUCCUAACGAAAACCCUAGCGGUGGAGAGCAAUUUGAAAACCUCGGGGGUCAAAUCGCGAGCGAGGUCGAGAGUGGCGAUCCGCGAGAGCAAAUCGAGGGCGAGGCUUACCUCGAAGUCGUUGGUGGAGGAGAGGUCCUUGCGGAGCUGGUUGGUGAUGAGGAGGAGCACCGGAGUGUCGUCGUGGAAGGACUGCGACGCGGCGUGGUAACCGAUCCUCUUGUGCGCGAACUUGGAGGAGGACAUGACCUCGACCACGUGGAAGCAGGCCCAGGACAUGUCGACGGCGUGCACGGCGGAGAGGUAAGAGAGUUUGUGGAGGGCGGUGGAUUUGGUGUGCUGGUCGGUGGAUUUGAUCUCGCGGCGGAUCUCCUCCGUGGCCUUGGAGAUGAAGGUGGAUUCACCGAUGAGUUGGAGGCGCAUGCCUUUGAUCAGAUCCUCCAGCGUGCGCUGGAAGAGGUUCUCCAUGAUCGAACCCGACAUUGGGAAUUCCACUGUAACUGCCGGCGUCGAAGCGAAUCAAUUCGAUUCCACGAUUAGCAUCGUGCAAGUUUGUUGCUGCUGGAGGAGAGGAUCUGUUUUGGGCCCAAGCUUCAAGUUUAUAGGCCCAUUUCAAAUUUGUCAUUAAAAACUAGAAUUUUCAUAAACGGGUUUAUAAUGAAGAGAUACGUGAAAUAAAAAAGUUAAGAUAUCAUUAAUUAUUUAUUUGAUUUUAAAUUUCUUGAUUUUUUUAAUUUAAUGUUAAAUAAACUAAUAUUUUAUUUUACAUGUCUUUAUUUCAAAAGUUUAUUUAUUUAGUGUUUAAAAGUAACAAUACUUUAAUUCAUUAUUUUCAUGGUGAGGGAUUAGAAAUGUAAUCAUGUCAACUAGCAAAUCCAUAAUUUAUCAUCUACAAAAAAGUUAUCCUAACACGUAAUUUUAGGAAAUGUAAAGGUUCAACUAACAAGUAGUCUUAUUCACACAAAAAAAACUAACAAGUAGUCGAGUAAUAUUGCACACACACACACACAGAGUCAGAAACUCAAUAGUUCUUCAUAAGAACAAUCUACUUUAUUAUAUGUCACAGGAUUCCGAGGCCUACGUCAUAAAUUUAUAAACUAAACUUUGAAACGUACAAUAUCCAUAAUCCAUGGGCUUCUAAAGUCUAAACAAUUCGUCCAUUCUGGUUGGUUUUCUAUGUAGCUCAUCAAACAGAGUUGUUUUCUUCUUUUUCUUGUCUACCUUUAUUUAUGUAAAGUCAAUUAGUGAAAUAACUUGCACAAAUAAUGAUUCGACCCCCAUUAAGUUGGCUGAUAUGAUAAGAUAGCUAAGCACUUGUGCUUUUUUUUUUUUUUCUUUCUCUCACUUUCUAGUUUUUUCACCAAUCAAAGAUUUGUUCAUAACAAAUGGAAAUCUGUGUCUGCAAGUUAAAGCACCUCACGCCGGGUAGCGCCAAUGAAUAUUUCAAUCCUACCCUAGUUGAUAAGACUUACUUUGCAUUGGUGAAACAAAAAAGGGUGCGUGGCUUCACUUUGGCUCACAUAAGUGAGGUUAAAUCACAUGGUAGUAGCUAAUAGCUAUAGUAUACAACACUCGUAAAAUAAAAGGCCCUUUCAUAUAUUUGCCCCACUCAAUAAGAUUAAUUUAUGAAAUAAGCACUUUCUCUAAAGUUGGCUUUUCUUUCCUGGUAUUUUAAUUGGAUAAAACAAAACUAUAAGGCAUCUUUAAGUCAACUUUAUGCAGAAUUUUAAUCACAACAUAAUCAGUUUACUAUAUAUAUUUGUUCUUUAACAUACAAUUGUGAGUUGCUUAAAUGAGUUUGAUUGAAAUUAUUUACAGAAAAAUAUUUUUUAACUGCUAUAAAAUGAACCUUAUUAAAUAAUUAAAAACCAGUAUGUGAUGGUCUCAAUAACCAUCAUAUCAUUAUCAUUGUUUAACAAUACAAAUCGACGGUAAAAACUAAAAUAAAAAAAGAAAGAUCGAAAACUUCUACCAGUCAAAUUUAUGUUCAAAGAUUAAAAUCAGAAUUUUGAAAAGAUUUAGAAACUAAAAAUAAUUAAUCCAAAACGUUAAAUUCAUCUCUAUAUUAAUUUGUCUCUAACACUAGAGACGAAAGUAAUAUAGACCGAUUUUACUUUUUCAAAUUGCAAUAUUUUUAACAUAAAUUCUACUUGGGAACUAAGAACCUAAAAUUGGAUUGUCUUUUACACAUAGAAGAUUCUUGGAGAAUUCAGAUUAAAAGACAGUAUGGUUCUGCCAUCAAUUAUCAUUCGUUAGAUUAUAAUGGUGAUCGAGAAUCUCAAUCCGUUGUUGAAAUGACUCGCAAAGAAAUUAUAAAUAAGGAAGAGCAAAAAUAAAUUAUCGUCGUGGCCUAUUUCAGAAUACCACCACAGAUUGAGAUCGAGCCUGUGUGUGGUUAAUUAGUUCAAGUUUAGAUAUAUACGAGGACAACAACAGACAGAUUCAACUACAUGUUCGAAAUAUUUUUAUUAUGACAGAACUAAAACAGUAUCAUACCACUUCUUUAUUGCCCAAUAAUAGCAAACUUUGUUGACCAACAAAAGUGAAGUGUGAGCUUUAACAUAUUUAAGAAUAUUAAAAAUAAGAUCAGAUGAGACUAUAACCACAAAACUCACGGCUCUCAUAAUCAUUACCAUCCACUUAUUGUGAACAACAAAACGUACAAAUUAAUUAUUUUGGAUAUUCCCAGAAUAACAUAUAUAUUUUAAUAUUUUAUCUAAAUAAUAACACAUCAAUUGGUGAGCUUCCCUUAUAAGAUGGGCGCAUCCUUUUAAUCCAUAGUUGUCCACUAGAAUUUUACUGAUUACAUGAACAUUUUCCUCACUUGCUUUAUUCAGUGGUACGUUCUGGUUUGUUUUUUAGGCCAUAGAAUUUGAACAUUUUUAAUCAUGAAUUCAUGAUACACGAGACAAAUGCAGCCUUGGGAAUUUGAUGGGAGGCAAUAUUUGUUCUUCAGUGGAGUAACCAUUUCCAACCUGGUUAUUUCCCAAUGGGUCUAAACUCUAAAGCAAAUUGAUAUUAACAAAAGGGCAGAUGUACUGAGAUAGUGGGUAGGAAGUUAAGAAUGAAAAUGACCUGAACAAUUUAUGUAUUAUUAUUUUAUAAAUAUAUCACGGUAAAGUUACACAGUUUCGGAUUGAUUAUUGAAGGAGUGGAUAAGGAAUCUCCAACUAAAGUGGGAUUAAAACUAAAAGGGUGGAAACUUAACCUUAGUGGAUCCAUUUGAGUAAAAGGACAGGUCAGUAUUUUAAAGCAAAAUGUGUGCCAUAGCUGUGUCUAGCACAUGCGUACGUAAAGGAGGAAAUAAAGAUGACAGUUACGUUCAUCUUUCUUUUUUUGUGUACAUUCGUUGGUUUUUUUGGGGUCUUCGUACACUCGUCUUUUAUAACUCUUUCUAGUAUUCUUUCGAAGUAAAACCGAUAAUAGAAAAAUAUAUAUUUAAUUACAGCAAAAAUUAGAGUACGCACAACAUUACUGUGCUAUUUUUAUAUAGUUAGGAGCUUAAUUAGUUUUAAAAUGUGAAUUCUGAUAUCUAUUUAAAAUUUUGUAACACGCUUCUAAUGAAUGUUAUUUAAUUAAUGUCAAUUUGGAUAAGUUUCUCCAAAAAGAUUUCUAGGAAAAAAUAUUAAGAAAAUAAAAUAAAAUGUUGUAUCGUUUUUUGCAUUAGUUAAAUUAUAGAAAUUCUCUUAUAUAAUUUCUUAAAUGAUGAAAGAACUCCUAUAAAUUAAUUAAUGUAAAAGCUAAUUUUAACUUGUGAAAAGUUUUUUUGAUUUCUUCUUAUUUUGUUCUCCUAAAAAUUCAAAAGUUUAUCUAAACAAUGUUAAAAAGAACUUUCACGUGUCAUCAUUUAAAUGGUAAACUUGUUUAAAGAUUACAAAGAACCUAACUAAUCAAGGUUUUAUGCAUAAUCAACUGCUCUUGAAUAAAAUACAGAUAUUAAUUAAUCACAUGUAAUCAACAAAUGUAUUCAUAUCAAUAAUUUAAAGUCAAUUUCUUUAAUAGUGAUUGGAGUUUCAUCUUGAUUCUUGAUAACUCAUAUAAAAAUUGUAGUAUGGAUUCCUUUUCUUUUUGGUACAUGCAGUAUGGAUUACUAAGAUUAAAGUUUUAACUUGAAAAAACAGUACUGAAAACACUUAUAGUACACUGUAAUUAAAUUUUUUCCUUAUAACUAAGUAUGUUGGAUUAAGAUUUUAAAAGAUAAUUUUGACAUAAAAAAAUUAUGUGAAUUUUAAUUAUUAUUUUUAUAAAAAUGUAAUAAUUUUUAAGAUUGUAUUAAAAUACUUUUAUGAUUGGGAUUUUAUAAUUUGAAUUUUAAGAAAUUUAUAACAAAUGAGUUCAUAAGAUUUAAAAAAAAUCAUAAAUUUCUAAAAAAAUAUUCAAAAUUAUAAGAGUGAAUAAAAAGAUAACAAUUCUAAUAUUCCACCACUUCACUUGGGUCUUUUCAUAAGCAACUGGUGUACAUGUAUCCAUAAGAAUAAUGUGUCAUUUUUGUUAUAGCUACUCCAAUUCCACGGAACCCAUUCAACACCUUGAAAAAACAUAAUUACACUCCCCUUUUCCCAAUAACACCUCCACGUUCUUCACGACCAGCACAAUAUAGUGUUUCCCAAUUGAAACCAAUACAUGUAAGGUAUAUUGUGUAAACAGGACGUGAACAUCAUCAUCAUCCACACGUAGAUAAAGGCAUAAGAAACUAUAAAAAAAAAUGUAAACCGUCAUAAAAGUUCACCACAAAAUACGAGUCUGAAGCACCAUGAAUCCUACUAACAACUCCAUGCCAAUACGACUACAAACUGUAACAUGAAAAAGUAUUGGAAAAUUUGAAGGGUUUUGGUGGGAGUGUUUGAUCGAUGGAUUGGUAUUUAUAUUUUUCACUAAAAAGUUAAGUGAAAUCCACCCUAAAAAGAAAUCCAUCAAAACUUUUAUAUUUUUAAAUACCACAAGAUUUUGUUCAUAAGUGAUAAAAAAUAAUACCAACAGAAUUUAUUAAACUCUUUAAAAGAUCCUAAUUAUUUUAAUUGAAUACCACAACAUUUAUUUUUAUCAUUUAAAAAUCUUGAUUGAAUAUUGUAAGAUUUUUUUUUUUUUUAAAAAAAAACCUUUCUAAUCCUAAUUAAAUACACCCCUAAAUUAACAAACGUAGAGUUAAAAUUUAAUCAUCCAAAUAAAUUUAAAUUUAUUUUGAGCAACUUACAAUCAUUAUAUUAUUUGAUAGAGUUUAUUGAUAAUAACUUUAGAUUACUUUAAAAAUAAAAGAAAUGAAAAUUAUUAAACAAGUUUUAUUUUAUUUUUAAAACUCUUAUUUUUAACUUUAACUUUGAAUUGUAGCUUUUAAGUUUAAGAAAAUGGGCCAAACUCAAACAUAACCUAAGCCUAUUAUAUUAACCGGGGGAAAAGGCUCACAUUUAAAAAUAAUAAAAUAAAAAUAAUAUCGGAUAUUUUUUAGGAUAUGAAUGUGGUGUAAGUUGGUUGAAGAGAGUAAUAGAGUCUCUUAGUUACUCCUUUUUGAGCUUUUUGAAGAGAGUUGAGAGUUACAUUCGUUUCACUUUCUCUCUACACAUUUAUUUUUUCAUUGUAUCCUUUAACUAAUAUUUUGGUCAAAGGAGGUUGUGAUAUAAUUGAGGGGUAAAAAGGUUAAGAAAAAGUGGAGACCAAAUGAUACCUGUUAAACUCUAUAUUCCCUUUAUUAAUGGUAUAAAUUAAUUUAAUUAAAUAAAAAAUAAUAAUGUAAGUUGACAUUUUGUUUUCGUGUUUUGUUUUUAUUGAAACUAAAAGAAUAAAAAAUAUGCUUUACUUUUGUUAAGUUUUGCAGAUAUUAUAAUUGGAUCAAACCAUGCAUGUUUGACCGGAAAACAUUUUACUUAUUAUAUUUAUUUUUGGUGUACCGAUUUAUUAUACAAGUAAAAUUAAUGAGUGACUCAUUCAAAUAAAGGUCUAAUAUCUUGGUUGAAUAAAUGGCCCAACCGUAACACUAUAUUUUUUUAAAGAUGUUGGUAACCAAUAUCUUAAAAAUUGUAAUUAAGAAAUUAAAAAAUAUUUAUUAUAAAAACCAUAAAAUAUAUAAAAAAAUAUCACCCCAAAAAAUAGGUUAUUCAAUGAAAACUAUUAAAGAACCGGUAAAAACUAGAUUAAAAUUAAUGUGCGGUAAAAAAGAUUAAAAUCAAUGCAAAAAAAAAAUCGGUUUAAAAUGGUAUAAAAAAAAAUAAAAACUAGUUUUUUUAAAUUUUUAGUUUUAUUUUUAUCAUAUUCUAAAAUAUUUCUAAGAUAAAUAAAAAUAUGAAUUUAAGAAUUACAAAUAGAUAUAAAUUAUUUUUUCAAUUAUUAUUAAUUUUUUAUCAUGUAAAAUAUUGUAUUUUACAAUUUUGUAUACCUUAAUUUUUUAUAAUUUUAUAAUAUUUUAUCACUUCAAAUAUUAUAUAAUUACUACCCUUUCAAACAAGUUACUAUGGUGCAAUUUUAAAAAUAUUGAUACAAACAUUUUUAACUAAAAUUGAAUUAAAAUGAUAUAUUUGUUCCAGAUUAUUGACCAUGUCCCUUGUCUUGUCUUGUUCUGUACUUUUGCAACAUAAAAAUUGUGUCAUUGCUUUCUGAUCUUAACAAGAAGUGAAAAAUAAAAGUAAAAGGCAACGGAAGAAUAAGUACAUUAGUUAGGGUCAAAGAAGGAAAGUUGGAAGAUUUGGACAAAGAAUGUGUUAUCGAAAGCGAAGACAGGGUUAGCAAGCUGUGCCUUUUCUUCUACCCACUGUUUUCCUCUCAAACUACCACCUUGAUUAUGACCUCCCACAUACACACAAAUUCAAUGCAUAAUUAAAUGUUUAUGGUAAGUUUUUUCAGCAUUAUAUUUUCAUUUUUGUUAGUUCUAUUUGGCGAUGCAAAGUACUACUACUCAUAUUCGUGUCCUCUUGCCUCUUGUUCUGAAUAUUCAUCCAUUUCUUUAUAUGCUAUUUGGAUCUCAUCACUCUUCAUGCUAGCCACUUUCGAUAUACACAUGUGGAAUAUGCAUGUUGUUGACUAUAUUUGUUUAAUCAAAGUCACUCCAUUAAUUGAAGAAAACAUAUAAUAUUGGAGAAAUGGCAUGUCAUAAAUUAAAUUAAAUUAAAUUUCAACGGCUGAAGAUAACUUUCAAGUUUUUUUUUUUGGUAAAAGCUUUAAUAAAAUGCCCCAGUAGAACUUUUAGGUAUAAUUUAAGAAAAACAGCAAAAAUCUUUGUCUUUGGUUAUAUUUUAAGAAUAUUAAAUUUAUAAUUUAUAUCCUUUCUAAGCAAAUAAGUGGAUGUGCACCUAUUUGUUUUUUACACAAAGUAUUCUAGCAAACUACAUUUUAAAUGUACAUUCAGAAAAUCAAAGUUAUAAUUUAUUAAUAUAUUUAUUUAUACUAAAAAAUAACUAGGUAUAUUGUAACAAAAAAAAAACUACGUGUACAUUAACAAAUCUAUGACAGUGUUCAAAUCAAUUGUACAACACGUAUACUGUUGUAUAUACACGGAUUAAAUCGAAGUUCUUGCAGCAGUUUGAGCUUGCCUGUUGUUUUAUUUAUAUUUAUAAUUUAAAGAUAAAUUAUGAGUGAUUUUUCAUAUUUGGAGCCCCAGCAAGCAGAAACUUUCAAGCGCCACUUUAUUUCAUAUUUUUUGUCCUCUAGUGUUUCAUUUCAAUCCCAUGUUUUUUGACCAAGACGGAAAUAGUUUUGAGAUGUCCUGGCAUCAUGAUUCAUGAUUCAUGAUUCAUGAUUCAUCUCAGCAAAAUCCAACUUUCAAACACUUUGAACGACGAGGAACAAGGAACAAUAAACAAAUAGUAAAAUACCAUCCUUUUAAUUUGUCUUUGUUUUUUUAGGUUGACGUUUCGUCAUUGAAUUGGCCACUGCCAAUGUAUGGUCGAUUUUUUUUUUAUUUUUUUUUAUCCUUGCGAAAAUUUGAUUUUCAUAAAUUAUACCUAAAGUAUUUAGAUGUGAUUGUAACACGUGAAUUUAUUUAAGCCACACUCUUAUUUUCGCCAUUCUUUUAUUCUAAAAUUUCAUACUGUUUUCUCCUUCAGCUCAAAAUAUUAUUCAGUCAUCUUAAUUUUAUUUGUGUUAUAGAUUUAUAUUUUUUAUUUUUUAGUGUGUUUAGGAUUUAGGGUAUAAAAUAUAAUUUAAAAACAAAACUGUACAAUAUUGUUGAGUGCAGCGACGACCAAAAUUAAUUAAAAACAUACCUUAUUUAAUCCUUUUAAGUUUACCUCAAUUUACUUCCAAUGUUUCAAUCGCACGUAGUUUCUUUUUGUUAAAUGAUUAAAUUAAAAGGAAUUUAUAUUGAUACGGCCUUCAUGUUGAUAAGUGUGAGUUUUUCUCAAUAUAUAUUUUUUUAUCGUCAUAUUAUAUGAUUUUUUUUAUGUCUUGCUCCUUUAAUAAUGAGAGGAGAUUAAAAAAAAACAAACUACUUUUGUACCUAUGUGAAAAGUCAGAUUACUAUACGAACAAUCCAACAGGCUACUUAUGUGAUCCCAAAAUUUAUUAUUUGCCAUUAGUUAAACAAACUAAUAAAAAUGCUCAAAAUGGGUUAUAAAAAAUGCUCAAAAUGAUAAUCAAGUAAAUUAUCUUUCGAAUGUAUAUUGUUUACAAGAUUCAUGAAAGUAAGUUUUAAUUACUGUGUUAACAAGAUUAAAUAUUUAUAAAAUAUAUAUAUUUUUUAAAGUAGUAUCUCGUGCAUUAUAUGAUAUUUUUAAAUGUAAAGUAUAAAAUAAAAUAAGCUUAAAUAUUUUUUUUAAGUCUAUGUGAACAUGGUUUUACCUGAUUUUAAUUGUUACAAUUUAUGUUUGUUACUUUUAGAUCCUAACAGUUUUUGUGUUUGUUUCAGUUCUUACCAUUAACUGCGGUUAGUUUAUAUAGUGUUGACAGUGCUAACAAGAUAAAAAAGUAUUAAUUAAAAUAAUGAAUAAUAUUUUAAACUAAAAUAAUUAGAUUAUUUUUAAGUGUUUGAUUUAAUUAAAUAGUAUAUUUAUUAUCAAUAUAUCAUGAACAAUUAUUUUUAUUUUUAUAAUUUUCUCUUUUGUUGUAGAUUUUUAUAAUUUACUUUUAAAAUGGUAUUUUUGUUAUAAAAAAUAUAAUUUACUUAAACGCUUAUAGUUUGCUUUUAAUAUAUUACUUGCAAUAUUACAUUUCAAUUUAUUAAUUGACUUCUUAUAAUAUAAUUUUUAUAAAUAAUAAUAAUAAUAAUAAUAAUAAAAUAGAGAUAUAAUGAAACUUGCUUGACUCACUCAAAAGGCUAAUUGAUUAAUUUGAUAGUUUUUACAAUAUAUUUAUUAAAAUAUUUUCUAACAAAUUAUUGGUAUGGGGCUAUUUUUUGAUGUACCGACAAGGGAGAUGAAAAUUAUUAGUCCAUGCAGUAAUUUCUCUUCCGCCUUUUUUAUUUUAUUUUUAUUUUUUUUAGCAUUUAUAUGCCUAUGUGCAAUAUACUUUUUUUUAAAGUGGUUGUUAAGAAUUUCAAGAUGUAUUUUUUUCUUUUUCAAUAAUACCCUUACAUAAGUGAAAUAAUUAAUACUACUUCUUAAUGUAUUUUAAAUUAGAACAUUAUUCCUUGAAAAGAUAAUUUAAUCACCAAAUGCCAUUGGAAAAAUUAUAAGUUGGAGUAAGUUAUAAAUUAAAUACUUGACAAUAAUAUAGAAAUUUAUAAAGUAAUAAAUGAGGAUAUUUUGUCUCAAUUCUUAUGAAUUAAAUGUGUCUCAAUCUUAUGUAAAAACCUUAAACAAUUAAAUAGUCUUUAAAAUAAUAACUAUAUAAGUAGUACUUAAAAUAUUGAAUAUCCAUCCAUUUAGUCUUUAAAAUAUUGAUAUAUUUUAUUAAGAUUUUAAGACUAACUUUAAAGCUUUUUCAAUACUUGAAAAAAUAUUGAUUUUUUUAUAUCAAUUUUCAAUGUUGGGAAUUUUAAGAAAAUAUUCAAUUUUUUAAAUGUGAAUAACAAAAUUAAAUACUAUGACUUUUUUAAUUAGAGAAAAGUUAUAUCAAUUUUUUAUAUUUAAGUUUAAAAAAAUACAUCACACCUGCUAUAGUUAUUUUUUUUUGUAAUUAAAAAAAAGAACUUUAAAAAAUGACUUUUUUUCAGAAAAAAAUGACUCUUAUAUCAUAUGUGUAUUUAUUUUGAGUAAAAGUGAAAAUGCAAAAAAGAGAUGGAAUUAUUAUGAUUUAUUCAUGAGGAAGUACAUCGUCAUCCAACGUGGCAUAUGUAGCCACGUGGCAUGGACUCAAGUAUAAAAUCUUGGUCCUCCCUCGUACUCGCGCUCGUACGUCCUCUUUCUUAUCGGCGUAGUAACCAAACCAAACCAAACCAAUCUCCCCCUUCUUCUCCGCUUCACAACAAAAAGAUUUAGAGAGAGAAACUCUCUCUCUCUCUCUUCUCUUCUCUUCUCUUCAACCACUUUCUCUUUCUGGAACCGUCCAUGCCUCCACCGGAUACACAACGUACAAAACUCACAACUGAUUUCGUAGAAACAUACACAACAAAGAUGAUGAUAAAGUGCUCAACCACUUAAACUCAGACGCAAUUUCCCUCGAAAAUAAGAAAGAAAUAACAAAAAAGAAAGUUAAAACGCGCAUGGCGUCGCCGUUGGACGGAGGAGGAGUGGCGGUGCUCCCGAAUUCCGUCAACAAGGUUGACUCCUCCUCGGUUCUCAAUGGCGGCUUGAAGUGCUCCAAACCGGAGUCGCCAAUUUUGAUUUUCUUGUUCUUUCACAAAGCGAUUCGGAAUGAGCUUGACGCGCUGCACCGAUUGGCCGUCGCAUUCGCCACCGGCAACCGCUCCGACAUUAAGCCGCUCUCCGGCCGCUACCAUUUCCUCAGCUCCAUGUACAGGCACCACUGCAAUGCUGAAGACGAGGUGCUAAUCUUCCUUCACCUUUACGUUUUCGGACUUGUUAAAUCGUGUAACCUAAUUUCCCGUUGUGAGAAAAAUGGCGUAGAGAGUGGAGAUUUCAUAGCUGGUUGCAUUUUCAAUGACGAAACGAAAUGACACUCUUGUUUCUUCUGUCGGUCAUUUCCUCUUGUUAAAUUUUGGUCAAACUUUGAUACUCCCUAACUAGCUUGAAUAUAGAUUUUGCUUUUACAGAAUAAAUUGAUUUGCAGGCUAUGCAUGUUUCUUAAUCUUCUUUACUCUUCUGUUAUUGUUCGUACCAAGAGAUGAUAAAAUAGAAAAGGAAAACUGUAUUAUAUAGCAUUUUUGCUUGGGGGCAGAAGCUAAGUUCAGUUGCGGAGGAAGAAAAAUAAGUAUUGAAGCGGAAGAUAUCAUUUCCUUAAUUGCAGCGGCGUUUUCUGAUCUUUUUGUUUAUUCUCAUUUUUUAAUCUACGCGUUUGUGCACAUGUCGUGGUUAUACUGUGUAUUGUGCAUAAAAAAAACGAAGUAAAAACCUCCCUGUUUGUGACAUUGUCACUAAAUAUCCACAAUAAAACUGAUUGAAUGCUAUGUAGCAGAAAAAGAAAAAGACCAGAUUGAAUGCUAAUGCUGAUGCUCAUUCAUUACUAAACCGAGCUUUUAUAAGCUUGUAAGUUAAUGUGGUUAGCUAACAGCUUCUGGUGCAUAAAGUUAUUUCAUUUUCUCCUACUAGAUAUGAAGUGAUCUUUUACUGUCAGUCCUUCAAUGCAUUUCUUGUAAUAAAUUGUUUAGAUGGGAAAGCUUUGUUUCAAAAUUUAAAUUAUCAGAGCUUCCUAUAGGUUUCUUGAUUAGUUUGAUGACUGCUUUUUCUUUUGUAAUAUUAAGGCUAUAUGCUUUUGGCUGUGCUUCUUUCAUACUUUCUCGAAAGCAAUAUUUUCAUAAUUUGGCUUUAUCACUCCUUCAGCUAUGUUUUGAUCAUUCUGAGGGAAAUAUAUUCUGGGAUGUAGGUGAUUUUUCCAGCUCUAGAUAUACGUGUGAAGAAUGUAGCACAGACAUAUUCUCUCGAGCACAAGGGUGAAAGCAACCUUUUUGAUCAUCUAUUUGAGCUUUUAAAUUCUUCCAUCAAUAAUGUUGAAAGUUUUCCAAAAGAGUUGGCAUCCUGCACAGGAGCUUUGCAGACGUCAGUUAGUCAACACAUGGCGAAGGAAGAGGAGCAGGUAAAAGUUUAUUUAAUAGCUCUUACCUUGUAUCCCACUUGGACUCAUGCAAUGAGAUAAAUAUCAUGUGAUGAUAUUUCCUCUCUAAAAGAUAGAAUUAUUAUUAUUGCUUAACAGAAAUUCAUAAAGACGAAGAGAAUAUAAUUACAAAGAGUUUGGAGAGUAAAGAAUCCUUCAUAUUGCAAAAAACAAUUGCUAAUAUUAACUAUUGGAAGUGCCAGAGAGGCUAUUAUACGUUGCAACCGUAUAACUAUAAAAACUAUAUUAAUUUUUUAUGUUUACUAAUUGAUUUAUCAUUCAUGCUUUGCUUACUUGAUGGGUUAAGUAUUCUUGUGGAGUACUUUUAAUGCAACCAUAUGGGCUUUGUCUAGUGAUUCAACUAGAGAAGUAAUCAUUAGUAUGUCCUAGAAUGACCAAUUAAGUCGAUUAGGGUUUUUUAUGCUAGAAGUUAUUGUUUUAUCUAAAUUGGUAAAUUAUUAUUGAAGCAUGCAACGUGGUAUUUAAUGUUUUCCUAUAUUAUCAAUACUUGCUAUAUUGAACUUUUGAAGCCAUUGCUUUUUGCCAUUUCCCCCCAUCCAUCAAAGUCUAAAGAAGGAAUCUUGAUAGUUAAAUUGUUCAGGAUCAUAAGAUUGCAUCAGUUGUUGAGGAUAUAAUGAAUGGAUAGUUAGAUGUUGCGAAAUGUUUGUUGAACAUUAUUGGAUUAUACAAGUAACCCUAAUUAAUAAAACAAAAGCUUUUUGUUUAAUUUAUCAUAGAAGAAACUUUAUUAUAAACAUGAAUGGAAGAGUAUAUAAAAUGAUCUGGCAUUCUAAGAACCAGUGCCUCAGGCAUACUUUUUGUGGAUGAUACUGUCCUGGUUGAUGAGUUUCAUUUACAUAGAAAGGCUUUGGAACUGAAGAGUUUUUCCUGGCACAAGAUAGGAGUAAGGUAGAGUUAUGGUUAACAAGUUCAACAAGACUGGGGUUAGCAGUGUGCUGGAGGUUAAAACUUGGAUCACAUCUUACCAUGAAUUUGUGCUGGUUAGGUAUUUUGGAUUCUUCCUACAAAGUGAUGGGGAUAUUGAAAAUAAAUGUAUGGUAAAUCUUUGUGAAAUUUAUAUAAAUUUCAAUUUUAGCAAAAAGAGAGUAGAAAAAAAUAUGAAACUUUGAUUUAUAUAAAAACUGAUUACUAUGAAAUUAAGUUUUAGUGGGACUUCUUUUGAACUAGUUUUGACUUGAAAAGCCCUCGAAUAAGAACUAGUUUGUUACAAUUGAGUGCCAAACAAACACAUAAUAUAUCUGAACUGGUCUUAUUGUAUCUAGUUAUCUUAUCUGUUUUUUGGUAGUUGGCAAACACCUCCUUUAUUGAGCUCGAAAAACAAAUCAAAAUGCAGCCUUCCAAUUUGUCCUGAUUAUCAUAGUGGUCAUUCUAACGAGAGUACAAGACUCUUUGCUGAUCUUUAUAAAGAUGCCUAGAAGGCAAGUCAAUCUUUUAUAUGGAUUGGUGGAAAUUUAUCUUUAUGAUAGCUAAAGAAGGAAGAAAAGGGGCCUGUUUGUAUAAGCUUUUUUAUUUUUAUUUAAAAAAACACUUUUUUUUAGUAAAAUAAGCAGUUUUCUGUUUUUUUGAUGUAUUUGUCAAGACUAUUUUUCUUAAAAAAAGUUUUUUGCUUUUUUUAAGAAGUAAAUCCUAUCUGCUUCUUAAAUAAACAUUUUUUUUAUAAUCAUUUUUUUAAAUUUAAAGUAAUUGGCCCAAAAGCUGCCUACUUUUUUUUUCAGGAUGGGGUGAGGGGGGAGGAAAUUGAGAUAUUAUUUGAAAGAACAAAAAUAAUUACAAGUAGGGGUAGCAUAUGACACCUCUAUAAGUCACUAAAAAUAAAAAAAUAAAAAAAUUCUUCCCACUUAACAAUGCACAUCCAGAUCCUUUUAUGAUCCCUGUUAGACAAUAUUGUACAUCAGAUCCAGAAUUCCAGAUCACUGAAUUAAUUAUGAUUCUUGUAAGAAGAUUAUCAUAGAUGAUCUUAAUCGACAUGUCAAUUUUGGGUUAUAUACUUUGAUCUGGUUUUGUGUCCACUUUAACUUCUUAUGUCCUUUGGAUCUUAUCUGUAACACUUGACUUACAGAUCUUAUCAUGAGAUUUAAUAAUUUCUAGGACAUUUAUGGCUUACGAAGGAUUUCUUUUCUCCUUUUCUGCUCUUAUGAAAAAUUAUCCAAAACAUUCAACUAUUUCUGUUCCCAGCCAAACAAGAUAACUUCUUUGGACUUACCUUGCUUUUUGACAUGGCCUUGGGAGGUGGGGGUGGGGGUUGUCUUAUUAAAUAGUCUGCCAAAUGAAAAUGAUAGCUGCAUGCAAUUUUUGUGCUCAGGGUGCCAUUGCCCCACUUGCAUUAAACAUAUUCAAAUCAGCGUUUUAAAUCCUGGAUUGCGGCAUGUAGUGGCCUGCCCUAAACACAAUGUUGUGGGAUAGCAGAUAGCAGCUAGUAGAUAGCCGCUAUUGGAUUUUUUUUAUAUAGUUUACAUCAUGUAUACUAUAUACCUAUAAGUUCUCAAAAAUGAUAAAAAUUAAUGACAUUCAUAAUUAUCAAUAAAAAGUCAUAGAUGUCUUUAAAAAAACAUAAAAGUUUCCUAGAUAGAAAUCAUCAGUCACCAUCUAAAUCCAAGUCUACUUUUUAUCAUUUUCACUUUUUUACUACUAUCAUUAAUGUGAUAUUAGUAAAUAUAUUAUUAUUGCUACACUUAUCACCUUUGGAAGUUUCUUUUGAAAUUGAGUAUUUCAAAUAUCACGUUAAUCAAUCACACAUUGUUUCUUGAAAAGUUAUUAUUAUUAUUAUUGUUAUUAUCAACUUAUUAAUUGUUUUAUGGGUACUGAAUAUUACCUUAUUACUUUAUCUAUAAUUUUGUUUACUGUUAAAAUUUCAGCCUUGUAAGGAAAUGAGUACUUUGUAUAAAAAUUCCUGCUAAAAAAUUGAACUCAAGAAAGCAUUACAAAUCCGAUUGCAUUUAGAAUUUAUGACAUGGAGUAAAUUGUUUAUUAUUGUGACGGGUUAAUGGUUUAACAUGUACAUGGAAGCUUUUCUUUUAUGAUGUAAUUUCCUGUGAUUAAUUAAUGGGGUUCAUAUGUACUGAGGAGCUUUUUUAUUAAUGGGUUGGUAUACUAGCUAGGUAACAUAUAAUCAAGUUCCACUGCUAGUUCUCUUUAAGGAAGUUUGUACAAUACUGAAAUCUGUUUAUAAGCUGGUGUCCCAAAGGAGGAUUCUUGGGGUAUCAUUUUGUUAUGGCCAAUUUAAAUGGAUACAUAAUCUUAUUUGCUCAGGGAUGUUUCUGACUUUUUUUGUUUGUCGAGUGAUAUCAGGUAUUUCCUCUGCUUAUUGAGAAGUUUUCUCUUGAGGAACAGGCAUCCUUAGUGUGGCAGUUUCUUUGCAGUAUUCCUGUGAAUAUGAUGGCUGAAUUUCUACCGUGGCUUUCAGCAUCUAUAUCACCUGAUGAAUCUCAGGAUUUGCGAAAUUGCUUAAUCAAGAUAGUGCCAGAGGAAAAACUCCUUCAAAAGGUGUGGUUUUCAAAUGCUAACAGAGCAUUGUUGUUUCCUUUUCUUUGUUAAUGUUUUUUUAUGUGUUGAAUAUGAUGAUGCUAUUUAUUGUUAGCUGACCGCCAAUAAGGAGAUUCUACAUUAGGAAGAAUGAGAGUUUAGGGAAUUAGAGGCUUAAACUUCUAUUAAUAGAAAUAACAGAAACUGUCAUUUAUAGUAAUAACUGUUUGUACAGAUAGUUAUAAGGAAGUUAGGGAGAGUAAUUGGGGGGUGUCAAUUGUUUUUGAGAAAAAAGAGAGAAGAGGCCAGGUCUCUCAAAUCUUUAUUUCACAAAUACAUGUGUUCUUCAUCUCUGUUCUGUAUGCAUUGGCACUAUUGCAGAGAUUGAUUGUUUUGCAAUGAAGACUACUCAUCUGUCUCAUAUUCUGGUCUUGUUCUAUUAUUUAUAUUCAUUUGAUUUGAUAAUUGAUAUGUAACUGUAAUAUAUCUUAAUCUUAUAUUCUUGCUUAUUGAAGGUUGUUUUCACCUGGAUGGAAGGAAGAAGUAGCAUUAACACAGUUGAAACUUGUGCAGAUCAUUCUCAAGUUCAAUGUAGUUCUAGGGCAUUAACCCAUCAGCUUGAGAAAGUAAACUGUGCUUGUGAAUCCACAACAACUGGAAAAAGGAAACAUUCUGGAUCUAUGAUAGAUGUUUCUGAUACCACUGGAACACAUCCUAUAGAUGAAAUAUUGCUCUGGCAUAGUGCAAUAAAAAAAGAGUUAAGUGAGAUAGCAGUGGAGACUAGAAAGAUACAGCACUCUGAAGAUUUUACUAAUCUAUCUGCUUUUAACGAAAGAUUUCAAUUCAUAGCUGAAGUUUGCAUAUUUCACAGGUAUCACCUUAAUUUAGUUUGAUCAAUAUUUGUCUAUUGGAAGUAUCACAUCUCUCUUCUAUUAGCAAUUCCAUACUUAAUUUAUCAUAAGACAUACCUUGUUAUCUGAAAUGCUGACUAUUUAUUUUUAUAAAUGCAGUAUUGCUGAGGACAAGGUUAUUUUUCCAGCAGUAGAUGGAGAAUUUUCUUUCUUUCAGGAGCAUGCUGAAGAAGAAAGCCAAUUUAAUGACUUUCGGCGUUUGAUUGAAAGUAUUCAAAGUGAAGGAGCAUCGUCUAAUUCAGAUGUUGAAUUUUAUUCCAAGUUAUGCAUACAUGCUGAUCAUAUAAUGGAAACCAUACAGAGGCAUUUCCAUAAUGAAGAAGUUCAGGUGAGCCUUCAUUGCUCAUGUGAUAAUCUUUUUAAGUGACUAGUGUGAGAUAAGAGAGUGUUAUGCAAAUGCAAUGCUAAUUGCUACAAGAGUAAUUAAUUUCUUGCUGGGAUUUGAAUGUCAUAUAUGCAGAAGUUGAUAAAUGUGGUAAUUGUUUUAUCUAUUUAGUUAAUUAACUCGGGAAGUUCUUUGUAAGGAAUUUGCAACUAAGCUCUGUUUUAAUCUAUUAGUGUUCUGAAUUCCUCUCAUCUAUAGGUUCUUCCACUUGCAAGAAAGCACUUUAGCUUUAGAAGGCAAUGUGAACUUUUGUAUCAAAGCUUAUGCAUGAUGCCUCUGAAAUUGAUUGAGCGUGUCCUGCCAUGGUUGGUAGGAUCUUUAACUGAAGAUGAAGCAAAGACGUUUCAGAGAAAUAUGCAGUUGGCAGGUUCUAUGUCUCUUCAAACCUCCUUGCCUUAAAGAAAUUAUAUCUCCGAGAAUUUUAUUUAUGUGUAAUCUAUAUUUGACAACUUAAUAUGUUUCAGCUCCAGCAACAGAUUCUGCUCUUGUCACACUCUUCUGUGGAUGGGCUUGCAAGGCUCGUAAUGAAGGUCUGUGUUUGUCUUCAAGUGCAUCAGGUUGCUGUCCUGCUCAAAGACUUUCUGAUAUUGAAGAAAAUAUUGUUCGGCCAUCCUGUGCUUGUGCAUCUGCAUUAUCUAAUAGACAUUGCUCGGUAUUAGCUGAAUCAGGUGGGAACAAAAGAUCAGUCAAGCGCAACAUAUUGGAGUCGCACAAAAAUGAAGAUCUACCUGAAACUUCAGAGACUGAAAAUAUUCAGAAACAAUGUUGUAGUGCACGGUCUUGUUGUGUGCCAGGUUUAGGAGUAAGUAGUAACAAUUUAGGGCUGAGUUCUCUUUCUACAGCCAAGUCCUUACGGUCCUUGUCUUUCUGCUCUUCUGCCCCAUCUCUUAAUUCCAGUCUUUUCAUAUGGGAAACAGAGAGCAGCUCAUGCAAUGUUGGAUCUACACAAAGACCAAUUGAUACCAUAUUUAAAUUCCAUAAAGCUAUACGCAAAGACUUGGAGUAUCUAGAUGUUGAAUCUGGAAAGCUGAGUGAUGGUGAUGAGACAAUUCUUCGGCAAUUUAAUGGAAGAUUUCGUCUUUUGUGGGGUUUGUAUAGAGCUCAUAGUAAUGCUGAAGAUGAUAUAGUAUUUCCAGCUUUAGAAUCCAAAGAGGCACUUCAUAAUGUGAGUCAUUCGUACAUGCUGGACCAUAAGCAGGAAGAACAAUUGUUUGAAGAUAUUUCCUGUGUUCUUUCAGAGUUUUCUGUCCUUCAUGAAGCCUUGCAGAUGACGCAUAUGUCCGACAAUUUAAGUGAAAGUAAUUUUGGAACCUCUGAUGCCAAUACUAGUGAUGAUAUCAAAAAAUAUAAUGAACUUGCUACUAAGCUUCAGGGGAUGUGCAAAUCUAUAAGAGUGACCCUGGAUCAGCAUCUUUUUAGAGAAGAAUGCGAACUGUGGCCAUUGUUUGGCAGACAUUUCACUGUGGAAGAACAAGACAAGAUAGUGGGUCGGAUAAUUGGAACAACAGGUGCUGAAGUUCUCCAAUCAAUGUUACCAUGGGUAACGUCUGCACUUACUCAGGAUGAACAGAACAAAAUGAUGGAUAUAUGGAAGCAGGCAACUAAGAACACUAUGUUCAACGAAUGGCUUAGUGAAUGCUGGAAAGAGAGUCGAGUGUCUACAGCACAGACAGAAACGUCAGAUCACAGCACUUCUCGGAGAGGUAUGUAAUAAGAUUUUAGAUUCUUUCAUCUUUUGUGGAAAUUGUGGGAUUGAAUAUUUAAUAAUAUAGUGUGUUAUUGUUCUUUCCUAGGUGCUGAAUAUCAAGAAAGCUUGGACCACAAUGAUCAGAUGUUCAAGCCAGGUUGGAAAGACAUAUUUCGGAUGAAUCAGAAUGAACUUGAGUCAGAGAUCCGCAAGGUAUAUCGAGACUCAACUCUUGAUCCAAGGAGAAAAGCAUAUCUUGUGCAGAAUCUACUGACAAGGUUGGUUCCAGUGAUCAUACUUUUGGUGUUAUUUAAUAGGGACAAAAAUUGCUGUAUAUUUGUUUGAUAGCACUUUAGUCUAUUGUCAUCAAGCUUCAAUUGUUGAUUAGUUAUUUUUGUCUUUUACUAGUCGAUGGAUAGCUGCCCAGCAGAAAUCACCUAAAGCUUUAUCUGAAGGAUCAUCUAACAGUGUAGAAAUAGAAGGACUCUCACCAUCAUUUCAGGACCCAGAGGAACAUGUAUUUGGGUGUGAGCACUAUAAGAGAAAUUGCAAGCUUCGGGCUGCAUGUUGUGGCAAGUUAUUUACUUGCAGAUUUUGUCAUGACAAUGUCAGUGAUCACUCUAUGGAUAGGUAAAUUUCUCAUGGGAUUUCUUAUGUCUUAUAUUUUAUAAUAGUAUUUACUUCUAAUCAUCUGCUUGGUCAUUACAGAAAAGCAACAUCAGAAAUUAUGUGUAUGCGCUGCCUGAAUAUACAGCCAAUAGGGCCCAUAUGCAUGACACCUUCAUGUAAUGGGUUUUCAAUGGCAAAGUACUAUUGCAAUAUAUGCAAAUUUUUUGAUGAUGAAAGGUAUCUUUUAGUUCUUCAGAGUCUAAAAAAUUUGGUAUUAAAAUUUCUAUUACCUGUUGAAGCUUGAGGCAUACAUAUUUAUACUUCUGAAAACAAUCUAUAGUUAAAAAAAUUUAGUCUGUGUAUAUGAAUGUUUUAGCAAGAAAUAGAUCUAGUUGAUUAUAGUUUAGUCUUUCAACUUUUUGGUUAAUUCUAUUUUCCUUUGUAACUUUUAUUACAUCAAACUUUGCAUCAUUCAUUUUCAGGAAUGUAUAUCAUUGCCCAUUUUGCAAUUUAUGCCGUGUUGGACGAGGGCUUGGGAUUGAUUAUUUUCAUUGCAUGAAAUGCAAUUGUUGCCUGGGGAUUAAAUCAGCAUCUCAUAAGUGCCUGGAGAAAGGUUUAGAAAUGAACUGCCCAAUUUGUUGUGAUGACCUGUUCACUUCAAGUGCCACAGUCAGAGCUCUACCUUGCGGCCACUAUAUGCAUUCUGCUUGCUUCCAGGUCUAUUUCACACCUAUUUUAGGUUUUAGGUUUUAAUUCCCUACCCAAACCGGGGGUACCCUAUUCUCAAGGGUUGUGGAUUCAAUCUUAUAUUUUGUUAAAUUAUGUUAGGCAUACACUUGUAACCACUACACAUGUCCAAUCUGCAGCAAGUCAUUGGGAGAUAUGGCGGUAAGAUGAUUUUCUUUCAUUAAAUCUUUCCUUUGCACUCAACUAAGACUUUAUUCUCCACCUUUAUAAUUCUCCAUAAAAAAGAACAAAAUACUUAUAGAUUCACAAAAAUCUGCAAAGGAAAACUAAACAGGGCUAUUAGUUUAAUAAUGCUCUACUAUCUUUCUAACAUGUACUUGAGAGUUGAGUCCUCAAGUUGAAGCAAAAUAAAAGAUGUUAACAAUUAGCAUUUGUUCAUAUAAUUUAGUUAAAUGUAAAGCUUGAUAUUGCUUAGUUUGGAAAAAUUAAAACUUGAAAAGUAUAUGUCUAUUGAUCUUUAACAAAUUUAUGCAUAUGAAGUUGCAGUUUUUAAAUUUGGAAUUUAAGAUAUCUAAAGAUUGUAAGAAGAAAUGCAUUCCUUUGAUCAAGAAAUUCAUUGAAAAGAUGAGGGAUAUAAUUAGAAUAUUCAUGUCAAAUAAAUUGAAAUGCUUGAAGAGGUUACCCGACAUACUAUUCUUAGUUUUUUCUCUAUCUACCCAGGUUUACUUUGGUAUGCUUGAUGCCCUAUUGGCUGCUGAGGAGCUUCCUGAAGAGUACAAGGACCGCUGUCAGGUGAGUACUUUUGUCUCUUCACUUCAUUCCUUUCGAAAGCUAAUGUGGAUUUUAUGAAAGAGAGCAUUUUGACAUUUUAGUUGACCUGCAAAGAAUUUGUAAGAUCAAUGUAUGUUAAGCCAGUUUUGUAAUGGCAUUGCAGGACAUACUCUGCCAUGACUGUAAUCGGAAGGGCACUUCACGCUUCCACUGGUUGUAUCACAAAUGUGGAUUUUGUGGCUCUUACAAUACCCGGGUUAUCAAGUGUGAGACGUCAAACUCCAGCUGCUCUUAGUGUGCUUCUUUUGUCGGGAGGUAGACAGAGUUUGUAAAUACUUGUAUAGCAAAUUAGGAAUCCAAAUUUUUCCAUGAAUAGGAGCCCCCUUAUCUUUUCGUCUUAUACUUGAACAGAUGCUCCUAAUCAGUCUUAUAGCAAUUAUGUACAGAUCAACUUUCUAUUAAUGCAACAUAUAUUGUUGCAGCUCCUAUUCAUUUCUUUCUUCUGAUCGUUAACUUCAUUUAAGUUCACUGACUUUGCUGCGAUCACGCUGAGCAAUUUAUCUCCAAAUUUCCUAGCUACUGGCACUGGCUAGACGUAUAUGUUGGCUAACAAGUGCACAACUGAUUGAACUGAAAAAUAGCUGAAAGCCUGAAGUCCUGAACAUAGUUCUUGAAUCAUAGGAAGAGGAUAGGAAAAAUAUAGUAUGUAUAUAUUUUUGUACCUUGCUUGGAUACCAUGAUAUACCAUGCGCAUCUUGCAGGUUCUGUGAAAUAAUUUCACAUUCACGCAAAGUAAAAAGGAACGAAUUACAAGUUCUUUUAAAUCAGGAGAUUGUAGUUGUAGCAGUAACCUUGAGAAGUUCCUCUAUGGCAUGUUCCUCAAGGUUUAGACCAGCAAUUCUGUCCAAUUUCCAUAGUAUAAUUGUCAGAAUGUUCCAUUUUAUUUUAUAGCCUAUCAGCUACGUUCAAGAGAUUUAAAUAAGUUUGGGAGCAGCAGUAACAUAAAAAAUGACAACCCACCUCCGAAACCAAAAAAGGAACUAGUCUAACAACUCAUUAACAAAUGAAGUUUAGUUUUCAUUAAAAAAAAUGCAGUUUGGUUUUUUAUUAUUUCCAUUUAUUCUAUUUCUUUCUUUUCUAUUUCCUUUCACUCUAUUUUUUUUAUUUAUUUCUUUCCUUUCUACUUCCAUAUUUACAUUCACUCUAUUUUUUAUUUAUUUUUUCUUUCUUUCCUACAAAACGCACUCUAAAAAUGUUAUUCCAAUUUUAAACAAACUUCUAAACAUCAAAAUUGAAUUUCAAUAACGAACCUCAAUGUCAUGCUUAAUUUAAUGGGUCAUGUGAAAAAUAAUUAAUGCAUUUUUUGGUGCUCAAUCAACAAGAAAACAACAGCACGGUGAUCUAUGCAUUUUGUGCAAGGUUCUUGUACAAUCUGUCUCCGAAGUCUAACAGCUGAGCUAGAGCAUUUCUCUGUGCAAGGUUCUUAUAUAAUCUCUCUCCGAAGUCGGUUUAUCAGUAAAAUUUAUAUUCUUAUACCUAAGAAUAAAAACACUGCCCACCUUUUCUUCAUCUUUAGGGCAAUGAAAUAGAGUCCCACAAGGAAGAAUAAUUAAGUUUAAGUAUUUUUAUCGUAAGAGUAAAAAGGUGAGCGAGGUUAGAAGAGGUGUUCUUUGAGCUUGGGAUGAAAUAAAAAUGAGAGGAGAUGAUGGAGGCCAAGUCUGGCAAUGAGGAGCAAGGACUGGCCUCCUUCACUCUUUGAUUAUCAAACAGAAACUUGAUAUAAGCCGUGUAAGAAACAACAGUGGGGUGACACCUCAUGGAUUUCAUUUGCUCCCACAUUUGCAAUAGAUAAGAUUUUAUUAUUUAUUGAAUGGGUCAGAUAGUUAGCCACAACAUUUUGUACACAUACAUUUUGUAAUACCCCAACUAUAUACUUUUGUAAUCUGUUGCAACACAACUUAUAUAAAAAAUCAAGUACAACAGCACCGCAUGCAUAGGUGCUACAAUCGGCAAAGUCUCGUAAAAACUAGAUAUAUCUCAACAAGACUUUUCGACUUGACUUGUCAACAAAUAGGAAAUCACCUAUAAAUCUUAAAAUCCAUGCUCGAGUAUACCUCCUCGUCAUUGCCUUCCAACUAAGCAAUGUCACCAAAAUGAUUUUGCUAACCAACUUAUUCUAACAAAACUUUCGUCUAUCUCCUUUUAUGCAGAUGUAACUCCAAAUAACUUUUCACAUUAAUCCGUCCAAUUUAAAUUUGUUGGUGUUAUAAGAGGUGAUCCAUCAACACGAAGCCUCAACAAAACUGCCCCGUCUUGUAGAGUAAUGAUCCAUAACACAUCAUUUUCAACAAGUCCCAAAUAAAUGCGGCUUAAAGUAGAAGCAUUUACAUUUGAUAUGUAUCUGGGUUGUAUGUAAAACUUAGUUUUCAACAUUUAGGUCACCAUCCAAAUCUCCUUUUUUUUUCUAGUAAUUUUUGUUAUUGCUGAACUAGACAUCAGAUUGACUCUUCUGCCUCAUAUAAUAACUAAUUUUACCACUCAGCAUAUUGCAUUUAUAAACUUAGACUUGGCUGCAAUUUGCGGAGUAAGAGCAUGGCUAUGGCUACGGCUAUGGUGGCAGAAAGAGAAAGAUCGAAGCCUCUCCACAAUUUCUCCAUGCCCUGCCUCAAAUGGGGCAACCAGAGAUUCCUGAGGUGCGUCAAAGACUCCACCAUGAUCGAUCUCAAACCCUGGACUUUGAGGACCAAAGCACCACAUCCACAUCACACCAACCAACUCCAGAAGAAGAUGGAAGAGAGAGCCAAGUUUUCGGUUUCACUCUCGAAGGAGCAGGUGGAACAGGAUUUCUGGGCCUUUCUCGGAACCAGACCUCCCAGGAGGCCCAAGAAGAGGCCCAGAAUUGUCCAGAAGAAUUUGGAUGUAUGUAAAUAGUCACACCAUCAAUUCAAUUCAUGCUUUCUUUCUCUUAAUUCAUUUCAUUUCAUUUUUUGCAGACACUUUUUCCUGGUUUGUGGCUCACCGAUGUUACUGCAGAAUCUUACAAAGUCCCUGAAUGAGGCGGGGCCAAUUGCCGAUGCUUGCUGACUCUUCUUACUUUCACCACCGUGUCAUAUAAAUAAAUAAUGGUAAUUGCCAAAUCAAAUCAACCAUCUAAAUAAAUCCAAAACUUGAUUCUUUUGUUGAAUUCUGCCGCUGGUUAUCUGAAAAUAUAGUAGCUUGUACAUUCUAUACGUUAACAAUAUUUUUACUGCUGCUUCCUUUUCGCUUCUGUGAAAGAUCUUUGUUUCACUUUUAUCAAUUUGCUAGAGUUCUAAUGUACUGGAUGCUGCAGUUUUAAUUGCUCAUUUUAUUUUAUUUUUUUUACCUUCAAUCCAAGAAAGAACGUAAUCUUGUCCCUUGUUAAUAUGGUAUUAUGACAUGAAGAAGAGUAAAAUCGGCAUAUUUAAAUUUGCACAGCUUGUACCAGUGACUUUAAUGUUUACAAAUAUGUGACCACUAAUGAAAUCUUCUACAUUUCUGUUAACAGAUAUUGGAUUUUAUGGUGAAAAAUGGUCAUUUUCAUCUAUUUUGUGAAAAAUAAGAGUAGAAAUAUAUGGUUUGUUUGGUUGACUUGCAAUAAAUGCCAAGUGAUAGAUAAAUAAUGAAUGCAUGAAAUUCUCCAUUUUGCUGCUAACAUCCUAUCCUACCCAAAUGGUUUAGUCAGAAAUACUAGUUUUAGACUAUAUUAAAGCCAAAUGCAUCUUCAGAAAAAAUAAAAUAAAUACUAAAAAGAAAAUAAAAUUGUUCAUUGCUUGGCUUUUCCAAUUAGGAAAGCUAGGGCCUAUUUGGGUAACCCUCUUUAGAAGCACUUUUAAGAUAAAUAAAUAAGAAGAAAAAUAAGACGGACUUCUUCAUAAACUAAAAUGAGUUCUUCAUUAGCUAAUUUGUAGAAACUCUCUCAUAUAGCUUCUCUAAAAGAUGAGAGGACAUCUACAAAUUAGCUAAUGAAUGGCUAUUUUAGUUUAUGGAGAAACUAAUUUUUUUUUUUUUUAUUUCCUUAUCCUAGAAGUGCUUUUAGAGAAACUUACCCAAACAGGUCCGUAGUCUGAGCCAUUGUUGAGGUGAAUUAAGGGAGUCUUUUCCAUUGGGCAAGACCAACUUCCCUAAAAAGGAACAGGUAAAAUUUGCAGACGCUGUUUAGCUCCAUUUGAGUUCAUUCAGAAUGUACAUGCUAUAAUUGUGUUUCCAUUCAAGAACUUCCCGCACUGAUGUAAAUCAGAAAAAAUUGCUAUAGAAAGCUUCUGUUAGUGGAGAAAGAAAAGUAAGAAAGCAUAUUUUACUUUUCUUCUAUUCUUGGCUCUGGACAUUUCUAAAUGUUGAUUACAUCUGUUACUGGAGAACAACUCAACAAAUAUGUGAAGCAAAAGUUUUCAUAAGUUACAUUGUAUGACUCUGAUGAAUAGUAGCAAAAGUUAAGGAUUCUCUCACCAUAAACAUGUUCAAUUCUCUGACCCUCAUCAACUCUGCUAGAAUUCCUCUGGUUCAUGUCAGCACAGGUGAAGCAAUUAUACAAAUUGCAGUUGCAAUGUUGCAUGUAUAUUAGGCAUGUGAUGAUUUUUGGAAUUCUGCUGUCAUUCGCAUGGGGAACACAUACGUAGAUAGUUACUGUGAUUAGCAAGUAUAGAGAGGCUUGGACAUUGAGGGUAAAAUAUGGAAGUAGCAAAUACAGAACCAAUUGCUGACUUAAGGUGUGCUUCUUAGUAAUGAAAAUGUAAAGAGUAAUUUGGAGUAAGUGAAAAAUGACAAUGCAAUGGCCUAGAUACAUCGAUAUGUCUCACUACUGUUUUCACUUUUAUUUGUUGGUUCAAGUACUGGCUAGUAAUUAGCUAUAUGUCUCACGUAACUCUUCUGCCCUAUAAGGUAUCAUCUGCACAGCUGCAUGGCAUUACCACUUGACAUAAUUCUUUUAACAUCAUUUUGAGUUUGCACUUUUACAGCAACAGGAACGGUUUUAUGUGCAGGAAUUGAACAAAGCCUGUGUAGUUUUUAUUAUUGUUUGGCUAUAAGCUAUGAAGUCCAAAAACAAAAAAUAUAAAGUAUUGGUAUAGUACACUUAUCCUAUACUAAUAUAGAUGCUCCUUAUUCUUAGAUAUGUAUUUAAGAAGCAUCUUUUAAAAAAAAAUUCAAGAUUUUAAUCAUCGAUAUGCUUGAGAUACAGUUCUAAUACUUUGAAUAGAAUUGAAAUUACAUAUUAUUUUAUUCAUUCAUUGACAUGUUCUAAUGCGAUUCUAAUAAAAAAAUACACAAUUAUACAAACACAAAAUUUAUUAUUAGAACAUGUAGAUGAAUAAAAUAUGGAUUAUGGUAGGAGUGUUCACAGGUCAGAUUUGACUAAAUCUGUUAUCUAACCAUAUUAAAAUUUUAUGGGUUGGAUUUGUGUAAUUUUUUUUUUUUUGCAAACACAAUCUAAUCCAAUCUAAUCAUAAACGAGUUGGAAUUAAUUGGGUCUUAAUAUUUAAAAAAAAUUAAAAAAAUUUAGAACAAUAAUGUAUCUUUGCCUAAAUUUUUUAAGUAUAUAAUAAUUAAAUGCAUUCAAAAGAAACCAAAUUAUGGAAAUGUUUUAAUAAUAGAAUUAAUGAUUUUAAUACUAAUAUAAUUUUUUUGGAUAGAAAUAAAGUAUGAUACUAGUAUGUGAAAAUAUAAAUAAAAUUAAGAAAAACAUAAAAGCAAAUUAAAAAAGAUGAAAAAGUUAUAGCAGGUUUAUUUUAAUAAUUUAAUAAAUUAUAUGAGCUAAAAAUUAUUAAUGUGUUUUAUAUUUAAUAAUUAAUUUAUAUAUAAUAAAUUAAAUCAUAUGGUAUGAAUUGUGUUAGGUUAAAAAAAUAAAACUUAUUCUUGAUUAGAUCUUGAUCAAGUUGGAUUGAAUUCAACUCAAAUACUUUAGAAGUUCAAUUUAUAUAAUUAAGUUGAGUUGAAUCACAAGUUGAUUUUAACUAUAAAUACUCUUAGAUUAAGAAAUAAUAUGUAAAUUGAAGGAAAAUAGAUGAAUAGGAAUGAUGUUUAACUGUUUGUUUUUCCUUUUGGUUUUGUAGUAAAUUAUAAUCACCCUUCGCUGAUAUAAUGAUGAGAAAAUAAAGAUAUUGUUCUUUUAGUAUAGUAAACAAAGAAUUCUUAGAAUAGUAAAAGUCUCCUAAAGUUAAAAAAGAAUUAUCUUCCCUUAGAUAUACGUUGAACGAUUUGAUUUAUCCCUGAACGAAAAGUGUUUAAAAAUAUUAACAAGAAUUUAGGAAGGGGAUUGUGCAAUAUAUUGAUUUCAAGGUUUUAGGAUUAUAAUUGGUGGAGAAAUUUAAUCUACAAGGACAAAGCAUAGUAUAGGUCACAAUCACGGGCAUUAAUGCAUGCGAAAAUAAAAUAGACAGUACCAUCCAAUUAAUUGUAGUUAUGUCCUUUCGAUGUCGUGAGUCUAUUUGCUGGAUUUUUCUUUUUUCUUUUUUUUCCAACGAGUCCAUUUCUUGGAUAAGAUGCCAUAAAAUCCUAAAUAGGCAUAAAUGAUUUCUUUCUUUUUAAUUGCCAGACUUUUAAAAAGUUUUUAUUUAUUUAUCUGUUAUUUAUAAAAUUCAAGAUGACAUUAAUUAUUCAUUUAUUAAUUAUACUUUUAUUUUACUCUUAAUAUUUAAUUAAUUUAACAUGUAUUUAUUGUGAAGUAAGAAGAAAAAGAGAUAAAAUAAAAAAUUUCACAUUUAUUUUAUUAAAAUCACAGUUAAAAAUGAACAAAGAUAGUAUAUCCACCACAAAAUCGAGGAAGGAUGGAGAAGCCCGCUGCAUAGCACAUGCCCUACAUGCAUAAUACUAGUACAAAGCAUUCUAUGGUCCCAAAGAAAAACACACACAAGGCGCACUUAAUUCUGAUAAAAAUUAAACACAUAAAUUUGUGAUCAGAAGACUAGUAAUUUCCAUUGAAGUCCAUCAUGGUUAUAAUUUAUAACCCCAAAAAGCUAAUCACGAGUUUAUUGAUUCAAGAUUUUUGGUCUUGUGUAGUGAAUUUUAGGACCAUUUGGGAUGCCAUUAUCUUAUCAACAUUGCAACUGAACUAAAUUUACUCCCAGGAUAACUCACGCAUUAAUUACUUAAUUUACUCAGGACCGCUGAUGUAAAACAAUAUUACUAAUUCAAAGUUAAAACUACUAGAAACAAUGGAUUGGUAGUGAUAGGAAUCCAAUUCUAAUGUGUUAGCUGUUUGGCAGCAUAUGAUUAACCAUAUUGCCAAGCAUGUCUAAUUGGAAUUUCACCAUUUAUGACACGAAUGCUGGUUGUCCAAUAAAUAACACAUACUAAUUUGGAGGAUUCAGUAUAUUUCCAGAUUAAAUGCAUAGUCUAAGCCGAUGCAUGCCACUAGAUAAAUCAAAGGAUGGCCCAUGAUUAGCUGAGUUAGUAGCUAACAAAGGCUCAGACAAACUAACUUUCCAAAAGUUAAAGUUUCAUCAAGAAUUUGUUUGUCCAUGAAACUGCCACCACUAGUUCUAGUUGUCAUAUGUUUUACAAUUAAAGACAAAAUGUUAGUUGUUGAACAAAAGAGUAUUUCUCAUAAAUAAACAAGUGCUAAUCUGAACAAGCACUAGCCACAAAAGCUUCCAUUCAUUGGAGGAUUCAUCACAGAAAACAAGAUGGGACAAAGCAUUAAAAAUGGACAGAUUCCCAUUGUUCUGGCCCCCAAGCUUGUACCUUAUUAACUGAAUGACCAUCAGAGAUUUUUUUAUCCCUCCAAAUCAUUAGCUUGGCAUAAACAUAAUCAACUUCAUUUAGUACCAUGCUAAUUACUUGUUUCUUUCUAGCAUGAUCGCUGAUCAGAAUAAACAAUGAUGAAUUUGAUAAGCCAACUAGCAAGAUUAACCACGAACUAACAUGAACAAAUCACUUCUUGCUUUUCUUGGCCUUCCCAACACGUAAAAAAGAACCCAACCCGAAGAGACUACCACUUCCUUUAGAAAUGCAGGGAGUUGGUAGGUUCAAAACAGGACUAAUCCAAAGACCAUUGGCAUAAGAUCCUCCAUAACUCUUACCUGAACGAGACCUUUGUAUAGGAUACAAAUUUAAGGUAGAAGAGCUUGAAGAUGAUAGUGGCUUAGCUGCUGAAUGCUGCCUGGUUGAACUCACUCUCUUUGGCUGUGGCACCGAACCAGUUGAGUUGCUCCUUGACAAAGGAGGUGAAUAACACAUCAAACUUUUCUUUGUAUCACAACUGAGACUUUUGCUUCUACUGAAACCCCAGAAAGAGGCGGAGUAAGCUUUCUUAUCUAGAACUUCUCUAGUGCUCUCUUUCUUUAUUUUGUCAACGCUAGACGGGGUACAUGGAAGUGGAGGAAGUCUCAUAUAUGGAGCUUCUCCACAAAGGGUGUGUUUCCUAGUAGUGUUUCGCUUUUUCUGCAUCUGAAUGGGAAGGAUUACCCCAUUAGAGAAAAGUUCAUCUGCAGAAGAUGAUUCAAACUCAAGGCUUCUUCUGCUAGUGCUGAACUCAAAGUCAUGAUUCGACUCAAGAAGCAUUGUGUCUUUGCGUGGAACAUCUUGCUGCUUUUGUAGCUCAGGGACAUCAUGGGAAAAAGAGAAACGAGGGGGAACUAUUUUAGAACACAUAGAUAACUACACAGUUCCCACCAGUUAGGAAAAUUGAAGAGGGAAGCAAAAACCAAGGUGGACUUCAAGGUAUGAUGAUGUGAGAAAGGAGAAAAAAAGCAAGGAAGAGAAUUCAAACGAGAAAAUCAAAACAAGGGAAGAGAGAUUUAUGGGUUGAAAAUAAUCAAAAUAUGGGGUUGCUUUUGAUUUACAAGUCAGAAAUACACGGAAACAAAAGACAUCCAGAUACAGUGUACAAAAGGAAGAGCGUGUGUAACCAUUUUAUUUUCAAAGGAUAGAGAUAUUCUGUGAAAAUUGGAAGAUCAAAGGAGAUUCAAUGUUCUUCUCUGAAUAGGAGGCACAAGGGAUAUUUUGUCUAUUAUUGUUGGAUAAUAGAAACAAAAGAGGAAGACAGAGAAUAUGACUUAAAAAAAGAGAAAAUGUAAUGUGUGACAAUUUGGAAAUUGUAAAAAAAGGAUGUGAACUGCAAAGUCAGUGAAGGUUAAAGGUAUGUGACUGAAAUCACGAUCUAAUUCUGCUGAAUUGAAGGAAUAAUGUUUGGGGUCUUGGUCUGUAAAAUAGCCACCCAACAAAACUUGUUGCAUAAGAUGUGUAAAUUUUUUUUUUUGUAAUAUAUUAUUAAUAUGAAGUAUUUAUUGAUUUUAUUAAUAAUUAAUUUUUAUCAAAAAAAUCUAAUUGAUCAUCUUUAAUGAAAUUCUUUUCAUUUAAUUAUAUUUUUUUAUCUAUACUUAAACUGGAAACUAGUUAAGAUGUGUAGAGUUUAAAUGUUUUUAUCUCAAUUGAUGAAAUAGUAUAUUCUUUUGCACAGUCAUUUAUAUAAUUUUAAGGUGGAGGAAUAUUAAUAGUCUCUUUUCUAACAUAAAGCGUAAACAAUCACAAUUUAUUAUACAAUUAAAAAAAUCAUUUAGAUGGUGAAGCACUGUCAAAUAAAUAUUUAUGAAUUAGGUUAGCUCUAGGUGUGUGCAAUUAUCUCUUGUUCCUUGUAUUUGAGGAUGAUUUCUUAUAACAUAUUUAAUACUAGUUUGAAUAAUCAUAUAACACGUGGGAUGGACCAAACUGCAAUCUUUCUGGGUUAAUCACCCCCAUGAUUAGAAUUAUACUAAAUACGUUUUCUUAAUUUUUUUCCUAAAAAAUAAAAAAGAAUCUUCACCGAUUAACAAAAUCCUGGUUGUGAUCACUAUUUAUUGAAGCAUAGUCAAAUUAGAGAGUUUCUAUAGACAGAAAAAUUUUAAAAAGGGAAAAAGAAGUUUCGCUACUUCAAUAUCUUUGAAAUAUGAUAGUUAAAUCUUUCUAUAAUUGCGUUAUUAAAAAAUGGAGCUGAUGAAAUGAAAGAACGUUCUACCGGCUAACUAAAUUUAUUGAAGGACUCGAGGAUUAGGGUGCAAAUUUUUUACAAUUAAACCACUACUCUGCCUUCAUUAAUUUUUUAGUUUCUGUUUACAAAAGUUCAACCACCACUCUGCCUUCAUUAAUUUUUAUAAAUUCUGUUUAUAAAAGUUCAACAACUUGAUUAAGUUAGAAAGGACCAACUCCUUUAAACCAAAGCUGUUAGAUGCUUAUGCAACAUCGUGUUAAGACCGUAAAAAAACAUCGUGUUAAUCUAAUAAAACUUGCAACCGCAAGAGUUAUUUAUAUUUCUCUAAUAAUUACAGCGUAUUUUCCAAUGAUAAAAACCUUCCAAAAUUAUCAUGCCCUUCCUAUAUUCUAAAGAAGUCGUCACGUAUUAUAAUUUGACGCGAAAACGGCAUUAUCCAAACAUAUGCUAUAACUUGGUCAAAUUAAUGGAUGAUACUGACUUAAUAAUUCUUUACCGUGAACAUUGCUAGUAUUAUAUGACACAAGUCUAUUAUGAAUUGUCAAAGUUGGAAAUAUUGAAACCUUCAUUCUAAUGUAAGGGUGAAUUGAGGUUAACGUAUUAGUUGUAUUUUCUUAUCUAAUUAGAAUUGAAGUUUUGCUUCAAUAAUCUACAUAAUAAAAAUUUACAUUAAAUGUCAAUAUUAAUAAGAGGAAACUUCACUUCUAGUCAGAGAAUAAUACAAAAAAUCACUACAUCUAAAUCUUGUCUUGCAAGCAUUAGGUUGGGAAGAAGAGAUCAAAGUUCAAAGUAUAGGAUUGGUACCUUGAUGAGCAAAUUCUUGCAUGACAGAUAACUAAUAUUGGUUUUUUUCACCAAGACAGAAAACCCCUUUUUGACAAGCUGCCAUGUGAGCAAUCUCUCGAUGAGUAAAACCCAGAGGCUUGAUGAUGAUGACAAAAUAGUCCUUAUUUCCGAUGCCCACAGCAUGGGAACCCACUCACCAACUGUUUGAAGGACCCCACAAAGCAUCCAUCAACCAAAAAUAUUGUCCUUAACAGGAACCAUUAUUUGGGGCAAGAAAAGAUGUAACCAAAAUCAUAAUCUGUUCGAGAAAUGUUGUACACUUCGUUGAGUGUGACCAAUCUUCAUUUUAUUAAUAAAUGAUGUAGAGACUUGGACGUGAUUGCUUUAGUGGAUCCAAAGAGAAAGUAAAAUGUCAUCACUCUAGCAAAUAUAUCACUCGCAUAGAGUCAUCCAAUUAUAAAGGUGGUGAUGGUGCCCGUAUAAUUCCCUCGUUCAUGUGUGAAGAAAUGGAAAAAAAAAAAAACUCAUGUUCUGGUGCUUGAAUUUGUAAGUGAGUUAUCAGGAAGUCAGUUUUUUUAUCAUUAUUAAUGUGAAGUAUUUAUUAAUUUUAUUAAUAAUCAAUCUUUAUUAAAAAAAUUGACUCAUCUUUUAAUUAUUUUUUCAUCCAUAAAAUUUAAAUUAAAAAUCUUAUUUAAAGAAUUAAGUCCAUUCAGAUCAACAACUUAUUUGUAAAGUCAUUUAUUUUAAUCGGUUUUCUUUCAUGCAACAUAGUAAAAAAGAAAUAAAUAAAUUAUCUAAAUAAAUUACUUUUACAAAAUUAAGACAAAAAUUUUGUAAUAUAAAAUUUAAAGUAAUAGACUUUUAUAAUAUCAAAAUUAAAAUAAAGAAUUUAGCUAUAGACCGAAAGUUUGAAAUUCUUUAAACUCUAGUUCUUGCAUAUGAAAUUGAAUACAACUGUGAUUCUUUUAUGCAUAGUUCAUUCAAAAAUGAAAGAAAAUCUGUGACAAUGAGAUUUAGAUUUUUUUUCUCUUCUUCAAGUCAUCACGUAUUCACGUUACUUCAUCUAACCUUAUUUUCUUUAUUUUUUUAAAUGAGAGUCUUCGAUAAAUAUGUUUCAAGUUAAGAGACUUUUUUCUGUUUUAGAUUGAAACACAAUUCCCUCCUAUGAAAUUUUCAAAAACAAAAUAAAAUUUCUCCACCACAAGCGAAACAGUAGAAGCACACCUAAAUAAGCAAUUUUUAAGAUCUUCAUAAUAAUAAAUACAUUUCAUUCAAAUUUCUAGACAAUUUUAAACAUUAGUACAGACUAGUCUUUUCAGGUUAAUCUAGUUGACAAAUCUCACGCUAGUUCUUAAUUUGAAAGUAGCUUCACCUACUUCCAUGGAAGUGACCGAUUUUGUCGCUUCCAUCAGUAAUUAUUAUCAAACAUCUUUAUCCAUGUUUUAUUAUUGUAUUCAUUCAUUUUAAGAGGAUGACUUUUUCAAAAAUGAACCAAGGAUUGGCAAACAGUCCAACAUCACGUAUUGAUUUUUAUUUUAUUUUUAAAAAUUCUAAUUAUUAAGAAUCAACUUAAUGUCACUUAAAAAAAUUGAGAAAAUGCUUAAAUGCUCAUUUGUAAACUUCUAUUAUGAAGCCUCAGCAUUUCUCGGGAGAUCAUGAAAGAGCAGCAUAUUAAACAUUGUCAACUGAUUAUGAUUUGCUACCAACAAAGAAAAUAUUUAGUUGUUAUCAAUUGUUAGUGAUAGAAUCUCCCAGUAAGUGUAUGAUCGCAUUAAGUAAAAACAGAAUAAAUUACAAUCAAAUUAAUAUCAUUUAAACUAAUCAAGAACAAUCGGAACAGUUAUGAAUUAAAAAAUUUCUUGGCGGGUGCUACCCCCCAAUUCAACACAAAAAGGCGCAAAUCUCUUUCCUCUUCGCUAUUGAGUUCGCAUUCAAUUUAUGUUAUUCAAACACCAGCAUGAAGCUUCUAAAACUCUAUAAUGUCAAAGUAUGCAAAUUAAUUCCUAAAAACUAAUUAAGAAACUUCGACUUUUCUACAUUUCCUCUCUCAAAAGAUCAACAAAUCUGUAGUUGUUUUUAGAUUUAUCACAUCUCUAAAACUUGAAAUUUCGCUUGUCUGAAUACAUAGCUCUUGAUCUUUUUUGUUCAAUUAUCCAUGGAAUUAGUCUGAAAAUAAUACCAGGAUGGUUAUUUUAUUUAGUCUUUUUUAAUUUAUUUUAAAUGAAUAGUAUUUGACUUUUUGUGAAUAAAAAAUAGCAGUCCAAAAGCUGAAGCUCUAUAUUUGAUUCACCCCAUAGAUUGGAGCUACUAGGUACUUUGAAUUGAUGGCAAUAUAAUACAGAAUGAAAAGAAACAAUCAUAGAUAUCUGCACAGGAUUGGACCAAACCUGGUGAAUGACCAUGCGUGGGUGAAUAGUUCCGAUCUUUUUACAAACACAGCCAGACAAGACAUGCAUUAUGAUGUCCACGGUUGCUUCAAUGGUAAUAUGAACAAUUAUAUAUGGCUAGAUCAAGAAACAACAAACUCCUUCUCCUUCUCAUCGAAGAUCAAUGACAUCAAAUUUUAAAUCUGGGUUCAUGUAAACAUCUGUACAUGUAUCGUAAAUGGGACCGCCAUCUGGAGGUUGAUUAUGUGGAUGAAAGCCACGCUGCUGGCAUUGUCUAAUGACCGACAUUCCACCAGGGGUUGUCAACCGAAAAAUGCCAUGGUUUCUGUUACAUGUAACCGAAAUUCAGUACGCAAAUCUCAAAAGAUUCCAGCUAUUUUCCUUAGUGUUAGUGGGGCAAGAAUAGUAAACAAGCUGACGUAGGAGAAGCACAACCAAGAGUGAAGCCAUUAUAUUAAUGUUUUAUUUUUAUCUUUUUAUAUAUUUUUCUUAGCAGCUAAAAUGAAGAAAGGAUUUAUGAUCACAAAAUACCUAUUAUUACCUACCAAGCUCAGGCAAAUUUUAUUUUACUGUUACAUCAUAUCUGCCUGUACUCUAUAAUACUAGAUGUUGGGCAUUAAAAAUGUGAGAGCGGUAGAAAUGAAAAUGCUAAAAUAGAUGUGUGGUAAAAAAAAUGGGUUAAGGUAUUUUAGACAUGUUCAAAGGAAGUCCCAGGAAGCACCAGUGAAAAGAGUAAACUGCAUGGUUUUUAGUCCUAUGAAGAGAAGGAGACCAAAAAAAGAAAUUGGAGGAAGCUGUCAAAAGGAAUCUCAUGCUAAAUAACAUCUUGAAACUUUGAUCAUUAACUAGGCUGAAUGACAUUGUAUGAUCUAUGUAAUGGACCUUAUCUAGUUAAAUAAGACUUCGCAAAUGAGUGACACCUAUAGGGGCAAGUGAUUAGUUUAACCUAUUGAAAAAAUUUAGAAUUAUCAUAGAAUUAUAGUUCUACAAAUAUUCCUAUAUGAGAUUACUGAUCACUUACCAAUGAGGGAUCCUAGGAUUUCAAGCCAAGUCAUGCAGUUCUAGUGAAUAAAAUAACGUUCUAGUACAAAUAGCCUUUACUCUAACUGUCUAAGGCAGUCAAAUGGUUGAUAAUUAUAUCAAAUUUAGUCUCACCAAAAACUUAAUUUUUUAUGGAUAUGCUUUCUUUGCCAUUAUCCCACAUCAAGACAGACACAUCUUGCUUGAGACACAUGUUACCUUGAACUGUCGGUUGGUGCCAUAACUAUUGCAACAGCUUCUGGCAGCAUAAUCUAUGGAGACAAGAUUUGUGUAAGAUACAAAAAAAAAUAUAAAGAAAAUACCAGAACAAUAAAAUGUACUUAGCUUGAUUAGUAAUUGAAAGCAUAACAAAUGUAUGAGAGAGAGAGACAGGCCUCUAGGGUACUACAAAUAAUUCCCAUCUUUAACAAAAAAGAUAGAAGAAUAAAUUUUAGCAAAAUCACUAACAUAUAAAACAUUUCCAUGAGAAGAUCUUCUUUCUUUUCCUACCAUUUCCUCAUCACAAAUAGCAAAAAUAUAUCUCAAAGACUAUGGCAAACAAAAUAACAAUCUCAACUAAAAUUUAAGAAACCUCUCUUGAACUUACCUGAUAAGAGUAAUGGGUGUGUACAUCAAUUGAUGACAUGAAACAAGAUUGUGUAGGAUGUGUCUGGCAAUGCAGAACUAUAUAUAUCAGUGUUGCAACAUGGGAAGACUAGCAAAUUAAGAAUAAGAAAUUUGGAUAUAAUACAAAUGAAACUGAGGAAUAUUAACAACAUUCUCGUUUCAACAAACUUUAUGGGGCGCACAUUAUAACAGUAGAGUUCACAUGGAAUUUCACCCAAUAAAGAAUAGAGCAUUAAGAGUGUCCAAACAUUUUUCAAUGAGACUAUAGACUAUAAGUAACACAAGAAAAAAAUUUCAUUCUGCAUUAAAUUAUAUAUUUCUUUGGAAGUUAGGAAAUAUAAAGGGAAAAAAAUCAAAACACCAAUCUGUUAACUCCAAUUACAAAUGUGGCACAAAAAGUGAUAAAGGCUCAAUAAGUUCAAGAGCAAUUUAUAACCAGUGUCCACAUGCAGAAAACUGAACUCACGUGGAUCCACCCAAGGGGGAAAAGAGACUGCUUAUCCUGUACUUCAAAUAUCUCCUCUUCAUUUGUAGCUUGACACUGCUCAAGAAGUACAAUAAAUGUAACAAAUUUAGAAUAAAUAAUUGUAAAAUAUAUUACUCAAAAGGAUUACGAUGAAUUAUUUCUUACAGAACUGGAUGUUGCCUCCUGCUUUGGGAUUAUUAGAGUGGUAAUAUAAAAUUUUCUGUUUUUCUGCAGAUCAGUUGCAUUAACAAAAUAGCAAUCAAUAUCUCAUGGUUUAAGCUAACAGAUACAUCUAAAUUUAAAACCAACCACAGUGAAAAAUUUAGAACCCAAUGUAUAAAAAUGUUGUGCAUAGCAAGCAUGCCCAAACACACGACUAAAAGACAGUCCACAAAUUAUUGCUAUGGACAUAACAUGAAAUUAUAACGCAAGUUUAAAUUUCUUUUUAGCUGCUGGGAAUCCAGCAAUAGGUUAACUUUGUUUCUAAGAUAGUAAAUGCACAACCUUUAAUACAAGAGGAAAAAAACAUGAGGCUAAUGCAUAUAUAUCUUGGGGUCCCAAGCUCAUCUAGGAUCUACCUUGCUCGUUGCUUCAAGACCAAAAAUAAAAUGUGAAAAUCACUUACAAGCAAACCAGCAAGGAUUCCACAAGUCUCUAAAUUUUUGUCAGUGUUUGACUUGGCAAGCUUCAUAAAACUCUCCAUCAUAGAAGUUGACUGCACAUUAAACAAUUAUCAGGAAAAUAGGGAAUACUGAAAUGAACCUAAAAAUGAGUGUUGAGAACGAGAGAAAAUGGCAAGUGAUGAAUUCUGUGUAAAAUUACACCCCAGAGCAUAUAUUUAUAUUAAGGGCCAUAAAUACAAGAAUAUGUAGUUUCCCUUAACAUUAUUGCAUAACAAAUAAUCUGUCCUAUUUACAUUGUUAUUAUAAUUACAUUAUUUCUAAUACUCCACCUUAAGCUGAAGCAUAUAAUCAUACGCACCAAGCUUGCUACAUAUAUAACUGACUUGAGUACCUCUCAAUGAUUUGGUGAAAACAUUCACCAGAUGAUCAUUUGAAUUGUCAAAGCUAGUGGUGAUUCACCCAACAAAAUUUUCUCUUUAAUAAAAUGACAUCUCUUAUGAAGUAAUAUUACAUAGUUAGGUAUUUUGUUGUCAAGAAUAGAGGACAAUAUCCAAUUAGUGAGGUUAUUAGCUCUUACUAUGUGUAGUUGCAGCGGAGACUCAGCACGAACAAUACUAUCCGACAUUGGAAUCUCUGUCUUACAUCCUUCCUCAAUAACAUGAGGUAACAUUGCAGGAACCAAAUCUUGUACUUCAGCAAGUACAGGUGGAGGAGAAGGCUGUCUGGUAACUUCUAUUUGAGCAGGAAUUUCUGUUGCUUCAAAAGAGAUAAGCGAAGGAGCUUCAUCAGCAUGCUUUGCCUUGCAGUCAUCACUCUGGGUAAGAAUUGAUUCUAAAUCUGAUUUAUGUUGUUCUGAAAUGCUAUUAUCUUUUUUAGUCAGAGAUCCAUCUACCAAGGGUUGUUGAAGGCUGUUUGUUCAGACAGGGAAUCCAACAGAAUAGAUUUAGUUAAUAUAAAAAGUAAAUAGAUAAACCAGCUCAAGGUGCAUCAAGGAAAAUAACAUUUCUUUUUUGAUCCAAGAAGGGAGGGGAAGGGGAUAAGGGAAUAAGAAAAGGGUGGAUGUCAAAUAGCUUAACCAACUUAACUAACUUGAGGGCCAUAAAGGGUGAUACCUUGACAAGCCUCAGAUAUACAUCAAAUGAAACCCCUUUUUUAAAUAAAUUAUUUAAAUAAAGUACCAUUAUUUAGAAAAGGCAACAAAAAACAUAAAAAAGAAACAACAGAAACUUAUAAUAGGCCAUAACCUUGGAAUUUCAACUGGAGACAGAUCUAUGAUGGUUGGAUACCUGACCUACAUCCAGAUAGAACGUUCAAGAUGGUUUUUGAACAGAAUUAAAAGACAGCAAAAUACCAAGCAUACCCCUUUAUCACUUGCAGGUGGUCGCCACUGCCCUUUCAGCCCAUUGGGACCUAGAAUUGAAUGUCUGGAGAGAGUUUCCUCCUUUGGGCGUAGGAGACUUAGAGAUCUACAGAAAGCAAGCAUAAUUUUAAGAAUUAUCAAACAAAAAAGUCCAUCUAACACUAUCAACUUUCAUAUGCAGAAUUCUAGUAUGACAAUCAAAGUAACCAAACAGAAUAAGAAAACCUUCGCAUAACUUAAUCCUGCAGAGAAAGCAAGUACAAUAAUACAUGAAGGAAAAGUCCAUAUGUAAAAUACUUACAGUCUCCUCAUAUUCUCUUCCACAGGCCUUACACUAGAAAACUGUUGGCCCCUUGAUCCUUGGUAAACAAACUCUCCAGUGGUUGGUAUGACUGCCUGGUCACAUAUAUAAUAGCAUAUUGAUACAAAACUUCUUUGAAAGGGGAGUUAGGGAGCAUAGAAAUAGCCAAAAAGCUUUCAACCAAAAGUACAUAUAUAAUUAUAAGGAAUGAUUAUUAUUGAUGAGCUACAACCUUCAAUGCAAAUUCUCAGGCAAUUUUUACCUUUUUUUUAUUAUAACUAGUCAAAGUUUGCUUUUUUGCUGGAGAAAAAUCCAUAAAAUUAUUUGAAUGACAUUUCUCCCACCCAUUGGGUUGAUAUGCUCGCCUGCUGUUAAACUCAUUGAUCUUCUGUUGCACUUUCGGUUUCAAUUUCUCUAGCUCAUUCAUAGAAUGUAACAAUUUCUGUAGCAAGAACCUUAAAAUCAGUUUACAUUUAAGAAUGUGCAACAAGUUAUCAUCCAAAGAAGAGAUGAAAACUAACCUUUCUCAAAGCUUCUUUCUUGCCUUGAGGAGAUGAUCUAUAAUCUCGGUGACGAGGUAUUGUCUCAGAGACCAAACUAACAUCAACGAAGGGGAAAGACCCUCAAUUCAGUUUGAUGGCAAAAAUAAGAAAUAGAAUAUAAUAUUGACCACGUAUUUUAAACCAUUCAGCUGAAGACAGUACACACCAUUUAUGAGAAAAAAAUCCAAGGACCAUCUAGUAUUACCUGGAAAAUCUUAGGAGCAUGAUAUACAGAUCAACUAUAUUUGUCUCUGCACGAAAGAUAUCAGCCUGCAAUACCAAAACCAAUAUUUGGGGCUGAAAGGUCACGCAAAGCAAACAUUGAAAAAUUUAUCUUGAAAAGAAAACAUUACCCCAUUAAAAAGAUAUUAAAGCUGGAUAAUAAAUUCAGGAGCAGAGAAUAAAAUAUGAAAUGCCAGUACAAGCAAUUAGCAGUACUGAAGUAUUACUUACACAAUGCUGCAAAACAUAACAUGACAUGACUGUAAGGAAAAACCAAACAUAAGAAUAGCAUGAAAGUUGGAUAGUGAAAUCCAUGCAUGCAAUAAUUUCAUACUAGUCACAAAUACUACUAUUUAACCGGUGAAAAUUGUAAUAUCGCAGCGAACCCUAUCUAUGUUUGCCCCCAUCCUCUUCCUAUAUAUGCUUACAAAAAGCAAAUGAAAUGUUACAAAAUCUAAAAACUGGUUGGUGCAAAGGAGAAAGACCUGUUUGAGGAUAUUAUCGGCAAUUCUGUAGUAGAAGCGAAGAGCAAUUCGAUUAUCAACAUCAAGUUUCUGUGUACUCGCAGCGAUGUUGAUCGUCUCCGAAGAACACAUGAUGUUUCUUUCUUUCUUCCCCGGAAUACGAAUAUGCUAUGCGUUUCCCUGUGGACGCAGCUCCUCUCGCAGUUCAGCUUAGCCGAGUCGUCGUUAAUGGCGACUUAGGCACAGAUCAGAUCAUGUCAUUUUGGUUUCUCCCAAGGGUAAAAUUGGUAAUUCAUGGUUGUCUUUUUUCGUCAGUUUUGUUAGACAAGGUUGUUAUUACAUCACCCAUGUUUUUAAUGCGAGGUACGGGAUGCUUUUUCACUUCUAAUGUAUCAUGUCGUGUACUGCAUUAAGUCAUUAAGUGGAGGGCUAAUUGACCUAAUGUGGUUUUUUUUAUAAAUAAUUUCUUAAAAUGGAUUUGUUUUGAAAUAAUUAUCGGAGAAGAUCUCUUUUUAAACAUGUUUCGCCAUGUAUGUUGGCAACACAGGUGACGUGGAACAUGUUUUGUCAUUGACAGUGAAAAAACAUGUGAAAUAAGGGUUUGGACAUUUGUAAUUGAUUAUAGUUAAAUUAGGGAUGAUUAGUUUUAACUAAAAAAAAUUAAAUACAAGUAUAAUUUAUGUAAUUAAAUUAGAGAUGAUUGAUUUUAAUGAAAAAAAAUAGAUGAAAAAAAUUAAAACUGAUUGUAAUUUAUUGUAGUUAAAUUAGAAAUGAUCGUUUUUUACAGAAAAAAAUUAGGCAUGAUUGAUUUUAGUGGAAAAAAAUUAAACAGACAAAAUUAAAUAUGAUUAUAAUUGAUUGUAGUUAAAUUAGGAAUGGUUAAUUUUAACGGAAAAAAAUUAGAAAAAACUUCAGCUAAGCAUAAGAUCGGUUAUUUAUAUGUGAACAUAGUCUCCUAUUCUGCAGAUUCAUUGCUGUUGCAAUGCCUGAAUCUGAACGGUUGAUUUUGUGCAUUUAUUUAUUUGAAGUUCGCUUGAAUUUCAUUCAUCUAUAGGAUGGAUUUUGUUAUCGUAUCAAAACUCUCGAUGUGUUAGUGUUCUUACAAAUGUGGACUAUGCUAUCUAGUAUCUACUGUUAAGCAUUACUUUUUCAUCUGUGUAUAUUGAUUAGGAAGUAAUCAAUUACUGAGAUUUUACUUAGUUAGUUAGGCACAUAACACUAAUAUAAACAAGAGUAUGCUGUAAUCAUUCAUCAUCUUUUAUCAUUUCAAUCAAUUCAAUGGGUUACUUCUUUUUGUUUUGUAAUUCCUGAUAUCUAUGAUUUCCUUGUAAAUCUUUUUGUUUUGUAAUUCCUGCAUUCCUUGCAGCUAUGGAGAACAGUGUUACUCAGACCCUUUAGGAUAUGUUUGUAUUUACGUUACAUUUACGUUGAACAUAAAAUCUUGAAUUUGCUUCAGUCACGUUUGCAGCCUAGGAAAGUGGGAAAUUGCUUUGGAAAGUGUGAAACGGGAUUUCUAAUUGAUUCCCAAACACACACUUAAGCUUGUUACCGUAUUUCUUCAAGAGCCAAGCCAUGCAAUUGCUUGUGAACUUACUUGCGGUCAUGUAAGGAGCUUAACAUUUGUGCUUUUGUUUAUUCUAUUAAUAUUUGCGGAUGCUGAUAAAGUUUUGGAAGAAAACAUAUGUAACUUCUGUUUUAGUUUUUAAUUGAUUUACCAGAUUAUGAUUAUAUAUUUUGAUCAAUCUGUCACAAAUAUCUCUCGUGUGUUUUUCAUAUUUUUAUUUUUCUUUGCCAGAUAUUACCAUAUUUUUUGACAGUUUACAGUGAAUCUCUAGUGAACUUGUGCUUGUUAAUUUAGCUAGAAUUAUGCCAUAAAAUUCUUUAUAUGAAUAUUUAACAUAACUAUAUAUUCAACAUUUUUAAAUAAAAUUACAAAAAAUAUUUAAAAUUUAACAUAACUUAAAUCUUUUUAAAAAAAUUUAAGCAUCGAUUUUUUAAACAAUUUUCUAUGUUUUAAAAAUAUAAUAAGAAAUAAUUGUGUGACUAUAAUAUAAUAUAUUUUCUCUAUUUAAAUACUCCUAUUUUUUCUGCAUUUUUGAAAAUUUUAAAAGUUAAUUAUGUUUUCUUAAAAUACAAUUCUUUUUCUGAGACUUCACAUUUUUUUGUUGUAAUGGGUUGAGGUUUAAUGUUGCGGAUCAUUGUAUUUUAUGGCUUAUUUAAUUUAAUGACAUCUAAAAUUAGUUUUAAAUUUAAAAUUAGAUAAUAAAAAAGUUUACAAAAUAUAUUGUUUUAAAGUAGUCAACAAACAUGAAUGGGAAUCCCAAAAGGAGACAAUGAUGAAUAUAAAAUUUUAUUCCAGCAGACAUCAAGGAUGGAGAGGAGAAAAGGGAUGAGGAUGGAACGAGGACAAGGAAGAACAUAUUGGUCUUCAUUUUGUCGUUUUGUCAUAUUUAUUUACAAUCAUCAUUUGUAUAUGUUUUUUUAUUUUAAAUCAUUACAUGUUCAAAUAAGAUUAAAUACCUUUUAGUCUUUUAAUUAUUUUAUUUUUUAUUUUAAUUUUUUUUCUAAUUUAAAACAUGUGAAAACAACUUAAUCACCCACGUGGAAGCAUGAGUAUUGUCCUUGCAUAUGAGAAAUAUUACCAUUGGAAAUAAAUGGUUAUGAAAAUUAUGUUGGAUGAGUUUGUUUAAAUAUUUAUUAAAAUAAGUAUUUUUUUUGUUUUUUAAUGUAUUUGUUUAAACUAUUUCUACUUUAAAAAAAAACAAUUUUUUGUUUAUUUCAAAAAGCGAAUCCUAUAUCCUUAUGAAAUAAUCAAUUAUUUUAUAAACACUUAUUUCAAUUGUUAACAAGUUGACCCAUUAUUUAUUCGUGAAUGAAUGCAAAUCAACAAUAGUACAAGAGAAUGACAGAACUUUUUUAACAACAUUUGUGUAUGUCUGGGAUUACUUAAGGAAAAUUGUUAACCAAAUUUCCUUUUUGUGCAUUAAUAUUUGAGCAGCACUUGUAUUAUUUUUUCCACAUCUGGAAAAGAUUAACAGAAUAAGCUUAAUAGUUAACACCGUCAGUAUCGUUUCCUUUCAUCGUCUGACGAACCCGAGACGAUGCAUAACUAAAUUCGGUCACAUUCCUGGAUUCAGAGAUGCAGUCACAAUCGUGCUGCAUCUUUCCAAAUGUAUGAAAAUCACGGUUUUUCUUUUUACUUUUAACAAUACCCCCUUAACUAAUUUUACUAUUCCAUUGAAUAAUAAUAACAUAGCAAACAGGUUGAAUUCUUGAAGAUGGUUACAGGGAAUAGUCGGCCUUAAGACUCUCAACCAAAAUUUCUCAAUACAACAUUUAAAAAAGUUGUACAAAGGCGUUAGAUAAAAAUUAAAUCCUUAAGGACAUCUACCAUACUUUAAAUUUUCAGAUGUGAAAAUUUAAUCACAAUAUCAGCUGAACUAGGAUAUGAACAAAAGUCCAAGCAUCAACGCAGUCCAACUGAUAAACAAAAUGGGCAAUAUAGACUUUUACUGCUACAGUUGAUUGUGACAUUUGUCUUGGUUACAUGGAAUAGUCAUUGUAUUAUUAUAUUACUACUAAUUGAUAUUAUUAACAUCAUGAUGGGAUCAUAAUAAAAUUAAAGAUAAAAAUUACUGCUAUCUUCCUAACUUGAGCAAAGCAACGUUUGAGAGUGUUAUAAAAUUCAAUUUUGAUACAAAUCGAGCCUCAUUUAGCCGCCACCAUCUCCAUUGGGAAGAUUGAAUUUCACAAACCAAUCAUAUCUUUGAUCACCGCAUUGUCAUUUUGCAGAUCCCAAGAAGAAGCAUAACAAUCAACUUCAUUCAUUCUAAUCUUGCAUUUUUACUUGAUGAAACCAAACUGGGAACUCAAAAACUGCUGCAACCACGACCAGGUGGUGUUUCUGGUCACUGUUGCUGUCUGCACUGUCGUUAUACUUGCAGUAUGUAAUGUACCUCUCUGCUCUCCCACUCCUUUUUCUUUUUCUUUUGCAUUGGAUCCAAGAAAGGAACUUUAUUUCUUCUGGGUAUGAUCUUUGUGGCAUUGUGCUAUUUAAAAAAAAAAAUGGCAUUUUGCAAAUGGGUAUAUAUUAGUGCUACCUUGCUAAGUUUAAAUAGGUAUUUUCAAAGUCAACGAAACAAAUUUGCCAAUAGUUUUCUUUUUCCCUACUUUCCUAAAUUGCUUCAGCUAAGCAUAAGAUCGGUUAUGAACAUGGUCUCCUAAUCUGCAGAUUCAUUGCUGUUGCAAUGCCAGAAUCUGAACGGUUAGUUUUGUGCAUUUUUUUAUUUGAAGUUCGCUUGAAUUUCAUCCAUCUAUAGGAUGGAUUUUGUAAUCGUAUCAAAACAAGAGUAUGCUGUAAUCAUUCAUCAUCUUUUAUCAUUUCAAUCAAUUCAAUGAGUUACUUCUUAUGAAACUCCUCUCCUAUUCUUUGAGCUUUACAGUGAAUAGCCGCAUCAACUUUGUGUGAUUUGCAUCUCUUCUCAACUUUCUGAUAUCUAUGAUUUCCUUGUAAAUAUUUUUGUUUAAUUUGUAAUUCCUGCAUUUCUUGCAGCUACGGAGAACAGUUUUACUCAGACCCUUUAAGCUUGUUACCGUAUUUCUUCAUGAGGCAAGCCAUGCAAUUGCUUGUAAACUUACUUGCGGUCAUGUAAGAGCUUAAUAUUCGUGCUUUUGUUUAUUCGAUUAAUAUUUCAGAUGUUGAUAACAGUUUUGGAAGAAAACAUAACUUCUGCUUUAGUUUUUAAUUGAUUUACCAGAUUAUAUAUUUUGAUCAAUCUGUCACAAAUAUCUCUCUUGUGCGUUUUUCAUAUUUUUAUUUUUCUUUGCUAGAUGUUACCAUAUUUGUCAUAUAUUGACAGUUGACAGUGAUCUCUAGUGAACUUGUGUUUAUUAACUUACCUCUCUCGCUUGAUUUUGAAAUUGGUUUAGUAGAUCAUAAAACAAAAAAGGGAUGGGUUAUCUUCAAAUGCAUACAAUCGAUCAAGUAAUUUGCCUUUUUUAAGACUCAUGACCAUGCAUUAGCGGUUGACUGGUUGUUGUUAUUCCUGCAGUUCACUGUACAAUUUUUAUUUUCACUUUUUUUUUUCAUUUAUGCCUAUGGUUGAGUUCUUUGUUUUUUAUCAAUUGAAGAUGUCAACAUAUGAGUAGAAGAGAAAAAUAUUGUAGUUAAACUAAUUAAUUAGACAGACAGACAAGAAGAGCUUAAAAAUUAAGGUAGAAUUAGAUUUAGAAAAAAAAAAUGUGGGCGCAUCUAACUCCCCAUGAGGUAGAAGUGUCCAUGUUCCAAGGUUCAACAUCUCUUUCUAUUUUCCUUAUUUGCUAAUCAAAGGAAUGUACCAUCUACUUUGUGAUAAUUUAGACUCAUCUGUAGUGUUAAGUGUUGUUGGGGUAUCUAAAAUACUAAUUAUGGAUCUUCUACGGCUAUGUAAUACUCUUUUGCUUCUAAACAUAAAAAAAAAGUAUCUAUCUUUCGGUAAAGAAUAACUGAGCAACCUUGACCUGUAAUUGCAGAUAGAAGGAAUCCAGGUUCAUGCAGAUGAAGGUGGAACAACCCAAACACGUGGAGGCAUAUACUGGUUAAUCUUGCCAGCUGGAUGUAUAGUCUACAAUUCUUGCUUAAAUAUUUUACGUUUCUUACCUUGACGUGUUGAUUGCAUUUGUAGCUCUCAUGAAACAGUUGACAUGCAAGAGCAUUCAAAAUUAUCAAUUCUAUUAUCAUAAAUGCAAUAUUUUCUGUUCCUAUUGCCUUUCAUCUUACAUGUAGCAGUUAAUUUGAAUAUUACAAUUUACAACCUCCACGGAAUAGUAUCAUCAUUGCUAUUAUUUUCUGUAAAUGUUUAGGUUUACUUUAUCUUAUUUGUUUUAUCCUUGUGUUGAUGAUUCAGAUCUUGGUUCAUCUUUCUGGGGCAUGGUAUUGAUACUUGCAUCAACAAAUCUUCUUACCGCUAGAAUAGCUGCUGGCUGUUUUAUUGCUGCUCUACUUAUUGUCCUCUUCAUUGCCAAAAAUGUAGGUGAUGAAUACCCAUUUAUUUUACCCCGGAUCCUUCUCCUUUGAUGCUACAGUGUCUAUUGAGAAUAUGAAAAUUUAGAAACAGAUUGAACAAUUUCAAGCAUCCAUGUCACUAUGAAGAUUCAAACAUGUUGAUAACAUGAAGUAUCAUUUUUAUCAUUGUUAAAAUUCAGUUAUAACUUACAUGCCUGCCACCUUGCAUCUCUGUGCCAGUGUGUGUGGAACUAUGUUCUGGGUGGAAUAUAUGUGCAUUUUCUGAGACAAUAUUGAUCCAGUAUUCUAUCUCUGCCUUAUAUUAUGACUGAACCUUUAUUCUUGAUUCUCAAUCUUGUGCAGUGGACUCUUCGGGGACUUUGCAUUGGUAAGUUAUUUUCCUAAGUUUUCUAGGAGAUGCACACAAUGCAUCAUGUUUCUCUUAAAGUAUUUUAUGUUUGGAUGUUGAGGUCUCAGGAUUUAUCAUUUUUCUUGGUGUAAUAUGGAUUCUGCAAGAGACAACCAAAGUUCGAAUACUACGGUACAUUAUCUUGUUCAUAGGUAAAUAUUGUAACACCCUUUUACUUUGAUCAUUUUCAUUGAAAUUACAACAUUACUUCUUUUUUUCAAAAAUUAAAAUGCAGGUGUAAUGAAUAGCUUAUUUUCAGUAUAUGGUAUGUCUUUGGAAAUGCAAAAUCAAAUUGAUUUGGUGUUACAACUACCUUAUAUGAAAUAGUAAAAUCCCUUUAACUUGAGAAUACAGAUAUUUACGACGAUCUGAUCUCCCGUAGAGUACAUUCCAGUGAUGCAGAAAAAUUUGCGGAAGUGUGCCCCUGUCCUUGUACUGGUGUAGGAUGGGGUGUUAUUUGGUGAGGAUCUGUUAUUAGAAAGAGUUUUCUUUGUUGUUUCUGCUAAAGGUGUUUACUUAGUUGAGCUGACAAGGAAAGCCAGGUAACCUUGAAUCACAUUUUCAUUGUGUUGUUUUAUUUGACCAAUUCUUAAUUCUAUUUGCAGGGGGUUAAUAUCUUUUGUGUUUCUUUGCGGAGCUGUGUAUCUGGGUGCUGUGAUCUUGUCAUAACUGAUAAAGUAGCUUCAUUUUCUUCAUUCUUUACAUUUACUUGUUAGUUGUUAAGUAACAAAUGGUAAUCACUCCAUCUUAAUCCUUUUUUGAAUUUUUAUGUUUAAGUGCAGGAAAGAAGAUUGUAAUUCAAGUUCUAUGACCGCUGAGAAGCCAUGUGAUUCAAUCCAUCUGGCUUUACUGCUUUUACAGACUAAUUCUGAAUAUUGUCGAGUCAGGUCCUUUGGCAGUUUGGCUUCAUUCCUAAUCAUAUUCAGGGUGAUUUAUACCAGAUUAAAAUGAAAAAGUAGUUCUGAUAUAAAUACCCAUUUAGUCUAGUUUUCAAACUUAUCAUUUUUUUUUAUAGUUAAUAAGUGAAUUUUUUAAUCCCUAAAAUUUAGGUGAGUUAAAAAAAAUUAACAAACUUUUUCAGAAAAUUUUAUGAAGUAAAAAUUUAUUUAUUAAAUUUUAGAAACUAAAAAAAUCACUUAUUAACUAAAAACAAAAGAGAUAAAUUUGGAAAUCACAAGAACUAAAUGACUAAUUAAUUCUAAAUACUAUUAGUACAUAUCAUGUGUUUGUUUCUGUUUUAUAUUUAUAAAAUAAAAAAAGAUUUUAAUUCAUAAGAUUUUCCCUAUUAACUCCAACUCCUAGUCAUUGAAUGUGUAGUAUUUAGUGCAACACAGGUUUCUCUUAAAAAAAAAAUUUAAAAGUGCAACACAGGUUAUUUUGAUAAAUUAUCUGUAUGCAGAAAAUAGCUUGUGAUUUGGGUCAAAUGGUUCCUAAAGGCAAAGCAAAUAGUUCCUCUUAACUCCAAUUACUGAACUAAUUGAUAGCUUAGGUUAGAAACAUGACAUAUGUCAUAAUAAAAAAGAAAAAAUUACAUUAUUUAUCUAUGUAAUAUUUUCAAAUAUUAAAGAGGUAUUAGUGUAAUAUAUAAAGAAAUAUCAAUGUAAUAUUUUCAAAGAAGAAAAAUUAAUAUAAGACUAAAAGAAAAAAAAUAAUGUUACGUGUAAUUUGAAAAAAUAAAAUCAAGGUAUACGAGUUUAAUUUCUUCUAAAAAAAAAGAAUGAUUUUUCAUUUUAAUUUGAACCAAUGUUUAUACCAGGAUGCACGGUUAAACUAACAAUUGAAUGGCAAAGCAAAAGUAGUUGAUAAAAUGAUUUAUGCAAUGCAAUUUAAGUACAACUAAUUUAAUUAAUAAUAUAUUGCUAAAUUAGCUGAAAUUACAGUAUUAAUUACGUAGAAAUUUCAAGUUUGAGCAUUCGUGUAAUUACCUCCUUGCAUUACAUAAAAGCUUGAUCUACCCAACCACCUUCAAGCUUUAACAUUACAUAAAACUAAAUGUAACGCUGACCAUUGUUCGGAUGCUAUUAGAAAAUCAAUUUGCCAUUACUAAGGCUUUAUAAAUAACACUAUAUUUAUAUUUUCAUGAUGUAUUAUUAUAUCAAUGUUCUUUAAUUUCUUGAAUAAAAUGAGAUGGCUAUAAUAUGCACAAUCAAAAUGCUUAGCACAUAAACAUGACCAAUUAAAAUUUAAGAAUUUCGUCAAAUAUAUAAAAAGUUUAUUUCUAUUACAUAAUAAUAUAUCUGCCUUUUUUUAUUUUUUAGCACUAAUUAAAUUUUUAGUCCCUAGAUUUUUUUAGAUUCUAUUUUUCUUAUUUUCAAAUAGUAUUUUUGGUCCUUAAAUAUUUUUUUGCCUAUUUUUAAUUUUUCAUUUAUUAUUAUUACUCGAUUAUUUCAAAACAUAUAAAAAUAAAGAACUAAAUAUGAAUAAAACAAGACUCAUCUUGAACUAUAAAAAAAUAAAAUAAAAAACUAAAAUGGAUAAAAAUUAAAAGAACUAAAAAUGGCAGACGGGUUAACAGAAGGGUAAAACUUGUUAAAAAAAAUUAAAGGACUAAAAAUUGAAAUCUGAAAAAAUUGCAACUAAACCUUUUUUUCACUACUUCAUAAGAAAGUGAUGACAAACAGUCUAGACUUAAUUUUAAAUGAAUACAACAAAAAAUUGAAGAAAACCACGCCAACAAAAUUUUUGGGCAGCUUUUGCCAAAUAAAUUCCGCACUAUUCACCAAUGUUCAAUUCCUCAAAUUUACCACAAUAAAAAACGAUUUAAUCAUCCUCCAAAAUUCAACAAUUAUAAAUCUAAGUAUAAUCUAUUAACUUAAAAACUCAAAUUUUAGAAAAGUUCAUUUUAGUAUCAAUUUGAUUUUCGAAAUACUAGGAUUAAAAGAUGGAUGCAGUUUUUCUUCUGGUAAGCUGAAUGCAACAGAUUUAAUUCAAGAAAAAUAUAAUAAUUGUGAAAUUUGCAAAUAAAAGAAACUUAAUUUUAUAAUAAAUAAAGCUCAAAUACUACAUUGAAAAAACCAGAAAUAGUACUUCCAAAAAUCAGAAAACGAAUUCCAGAUUGAAAGUCAAUUUGUCACCAAAAUUUUAACCAGCAUACUCCAUAUGCAAUUCUCCGAACAAAUUCUCAAAGCUAACAAAAGUGAAACUAAGACUCUGAGACAGGAUACUCAAACACAACAUCUUUUCCAGAUAACUUCCUGUAUACUGCAGCAAAAGUCUCCAACUUGUACUCAGUGUUGUUUCGCUCCUUUGGGUCCAAGUAAACCUGCCCAACCAAUUACAUACAAAUUAUGUAGGCAUAAAAAAACUAAUACAAAGGUAAAGGUCAAGAAAUUCCAUAGACAAAUGCUCAACCAUAUAACACAAGUAACAAGAGUUAAAUGGUGAUAAUAGCUCUACCUUCAUAAUCUUGGAUCCAUCAAUUUGGUACCUCACACGCUUCCCAACAAUCUCAGCAGGCAAUACAACAUCCUCCAGCAUUGCUUCAUGAACAGCAGUAAGAGUGCGGCUGCGAGGACGCUGAGCAGCAGAACCCUUCUUCGGUGGCCUCAAAAUCCUCCGGGUGGCAACCAAGAUUACAUCCUACAUGUUUAAUUAGAUUAAAAUUGUUGAAUAAGAGAGAAACUAAAUGAAUAGAAGAUUGAAAAUGAAAUUAAUAAGUUCAAGAAGCAGUCUAAAUUAGAAGAAAACACUUCAUAGAAGCUAAUAAAGUUACACAACGACCCAAAGGAAUACUCCAGACUAUUAUAUACUAAACACAUAUUAAGUAAAUUGCACAUAACUCUCUUAGGACUAUUACAGAGGUGAAUUAAUCUCGUAUUGUGAGUCUGCAGCUUAAUCAUUAUUUAAUUAGCAUGAGGUUACACCAAAAUAUUUGCUAAUGAUAAGUGUUGAGACAUAUUAUAAUGAAAUAUUUCUCAAGUUGCAGUUGGAGUUUUCGGGUAAAAAUCCAAUCAAAAUGGUAGAGUAAAGGACCAUGAACACUAUCAAAUGUAUUCAAACUACCAAAAUGAUGCCAGAACAUAUCAAUAUAUAGAUGUCAAAAAUAUGCUAAGCUUUACCUACCUUGCCACUAAACUUCUUCUCAAGCUCCCUGACAAGCCUAACAUGAAUCUUACGGAAACCUUUCCUUAAUCUGUAAGGGACAUGAAUAACAACAGCCUUGCGGUUUCCAGAAACAUCAACUUGCCUGCAGAUAGUAAAAAAGCAUUCAUAAGACAGACAGAACAUUAAUCAACCUUCGUCACACACACAGUAGCAUGCAAUAGGAAUCCUUACACGGCUGAGUUUAUGUAUAAAUCCUUCAGAUCACUUUUAAGCUCCUGAUUGGUAUUUUCCAGAUCAAACAAUGCCUGCAGCAACAAAAGUUAAACCAAAAUAUUCACACAUUGGAAACAAAUGUGAUUAAACAGAAACAUUUUGAUAAUGGCUAAAAAUUACCUGUCCAACUGACUCUUCAAAUUCAGUUGGUUCAGCAUCCUUAUCCUUGUGGAUUUUCUUCCUUGAUGUGUACAUCUUCACAGCUGUACAAAAACAACAUAAUGUUAGAGCGCCUAGCCCCUAAACCCUAAACAAAAUUAAGGAGAACAGAAAAGGGUCAAGCCUCGAUUUGAACAUUCCUUAAAUAAUUCCAAUUUUCCAAAGGAUUAAAUCCCCCUAACUCCAACUAAUAAAAAUGAAAAUAGCCGUCUUCAAACCCCCAACAACAACCCCGCCUCAAGGUUAACACGUUUUGUUGGCUAACAGAAAAACUUAGAAAAAGUAAAUCAAUUAAAACAUAAAAAGUAAAAAUGAGAACUUUCCUUCUGUUACUCAAUGAUUCCAAUAAUUGAUUUGCAGAAUGCAUAGAAGGGGCAAAUGGGUCUAGAGCACACAUACCUUACCUGAGAAGAUGCAAGCCCUGAGAGAUCGGCGGCUAAGAGUCGGAAUGGGAGUCCCUACUGGUUCGCAGUGAAAAGAAAACCCUAGGGUUUGUGAUUAAACGUGUUUAUAAGGACUGAAUGAACGACCAAGAUCGGACUUCGUGUACACGUGGACGGUUCAUGUUGCAAAUUUUAAUCUUUCCUUAUUUUAGAUCUCUGUUUGCAUAUAAUUUUGGGCUCAAUAUUUUUAUGGAGCAAUCCAACAACCUGUAAUUUAUGGGCUUUAAGCCCAAAUAUAAGAUGAUGUCUGCACGAAGCCUACUUUUUUUAUUUUUUACCUAUUGCGACAGAAUUACUAGUUAAUUUAUUGGUAUGUAAAUGAGUGGAGGACUGGAAAUUUAAACUUCACUUGCAAAGAAAUGGGUGACUUAAAGCUUAACUAAUUUAUUCAAACAAGUCUCAUUAGAAGCUUCAACUUCACUUGUUUAAAAAAAUAAAAGCUUGAGCUUGAUUUGUUUAAUUCGUUUAAAAAUUAAUUACUUUUUAAUUUGCAAAAAAAUUCUUAAAUUAGUUUAUAACUUUAUCAGUGUAGAAUUUAAUAAAAUAUUUUAAUAAUAUUUAAUAAUCUACAAAUACAAAUAUGUACUAAACACUUGUUAUAAUGGUGUGGAAUCUAUGUAAUUUUAAUUUUCUACAUUUUAUAUAAACGAGUUAUUCACAAACUUUUACUUUUAAUGUCAAGUUUGUAAAACUUGGACUUGCUCGUUUAAAUAAUUGAGUUUGUUUUGUUAAAUUAAACAAACAAACAAACUUGCUCAAACAUUUAAUCAAACGAGCUCAAAUAAUUUACAAAUAUUUUGUCUCAUUUACACCCUCUUACUUUAUAUUUAUCUAGAAUUUGAAUGUGUAUGUUAGACAAUGUGUCUCUAUCUGUACAGUCAACACAAGUCAAUUAACUAAAUUAAGGUCGUCUUUUGAUGUUUCUCCUUUACUUUGGAAUUUAGUUCAACAUAGUUGGUUACUCGUGUCUUCACAUUACUCAGAAAUUUUAAGUUGAUAAACAAAAAAGUGUGUGUAUUUAUUAGUGGGAACGAGAAGAACAACUUUGACAAAUUACUAAGGCUAUUUUGUUUUCCCGUUUGGUUUGCGACAGCAUGCGUUGUGAGGCACAUCUAACGGUUGUUUGAAAAGGGAAGGGGGGAGAUCCGUUGGUGAACGUGCACUAAGUGAUCGUUUGUUUAUUUUUAAGUUAAAUAAAAUUAAUUAACAAAACUAAUUUUGAACCAUUCAAUUGAAUUGAGAUAGGUGUUCUUAGUUAUAGAUUUUGUUAUUAAAAUAUGUAUGGAAUUAAAGGUAUAUUGUUUAGAGCUAAAGAAAGUGUAAUGAUAUUUGUCUACUCUAUAAAAUGAGACGAGAAUUUGGAUGAAAAAGAAGUGAUAAAUAAGUAUAAAAAAAAAGUAGCUAGAAAGGAAAAAUAAUAGAUGAUAUAAUUAAAAAAAAAAAGAUUAGUGUAUCACUCUUGGAACAAAAUAACAUGAAAGCAUUAUUACUUGUAUCUUGAAUAAGCUAUUUAAGUGACAAUGAAGCUUGAAGCUCCGUUAUCUUUUGAAAUUAAUUUCUCAAACUCUUAAAAGAGUUUGAGAAAUAAUGGGGAGUCGAAAUUUCCACUGGAAAUAAACUAAUUAAUGUCAAAAGAUAAUAAUGGGGAGUCGAAAUUUCCACUGGAGAGUUAAUUUAAUUGCAAUGUUGGCACACUUCCAAUUCUAGUUGUCGAAAGGGUUUGAAAACUCAAAUGAAAUCCCACACUUAAACAAUUAGACAUAGUUAUUAAUAGUCUCUUUAAAAACUUUUCAUUCAUUUCAAUUAAUAGUCUCCGAAGUGUUUGUUUUAUUUUUAGUUAAAAUUAUUGUGAUGAAUGUUUUAAUAUAACUCAACAGAUAAAAGAAAAAUAAAAGCAAAAACAAGAUUAUGAUCCUUUUGCAAAAAGUAUUUUUGCUCAAACAUACACUUGCAUUUGAUUUCCAAACAUGCAUUUAUUUUACUACCCCAAGAUUAAUUCUUGAACAUGGCCUCUUGCGGCAGUGUUAAGGAAGCUAUUGUCCCUGACAGCCCAAUAAAAUCUCCCAUUCAAGACUCUUUUUACUCUAUCUUAAGUACCUAACUAGUUAACUCUUGAAUAGGUUGAUCUUAAAAUUAGCAGAAAAGGUCAACCAUUUCAACGAUUCUAUUCCACAUGGUUUUCCUUAAAAUUUUGUUACACCGUAUGACAAUUUUUGGUUAGCACUGCCAACAACUGAACUCCUACCUAUAUAGUUCACCUCAUUAAUAAUUUAAUACACAUGUGUAACACAAAUAUGGCGCUACUGCUAAUCAUUAUAUGGAUACUUAAAUGACGACACCCAUUAAUUUGAUAGUAAAGUUUUGAACAGAGGAUGGCAUUUCUAAGUCCUUUAGAUCAAAAGCUAAGUGCAGAUAAUCAUUUGAUUCUUUUGGAUCAACGCUUAUCUAAUGGUAUUUGCUUUUCAAUAACUCUAUAUUAUAAUAAUAAUAAUAUCACGUUUACAAAAGAAAAAACAAAUAAGUUGGAUCUGAAAUCUGAAUGGCCACAUACUCGUAGCUAUUCAACUGUUACGAUCUUUUUUGACGAUGGAAAGAACUAUUACGAUCUUAAAUUGAAUUAUUUUGACUUCAAAAUGGUAUUGGUACGGAAACGAAACACCUCUGUCCAACCUUUUGACUCUACCUCUUCCUCCCCACCAAUCGCAUCCGAUGGGUUCCACUUGGUAGGUAAGACAUGAAUUUUAGAUAAAAUUUAAAUGUAACUUUUUUUACUUUUGGUAUUUUUUAAUUAAAAUUUUAUUUCAAUAAUUUAUGUUGAUCUAUUUUUAAGCUACUUACGUUGAUUUCCAAUAUAAAUAUGAAUUUAAGGACAAUACACUAAUAAUAUAAAUCAUUUUUUAAUCACAUCCAAUACAAGUCAUAAUUAAUAUGAUUUUUAAGAUAAUUUUAUAUAAAUUAAUAAAUUUAUCAUAAAUAAUAAUUUAGAAUGGAAUGAUAUUAUAAAUUCAGUGCAUAGUGAUUUUUUUCCUGUAAAUAUUUAUAAAACAUAUAUUAUUGAGAAAAAACUUUCAAGUGGAUUCAUGAACUUGAAUUUUUUGUGAAGGAAGUUUCACAAAAGCACUUGGACCAAAGAGUUAAUUUAAUUCAACAAUUCAAGAGAUUUUACACGUAGUCGCCUGUAGUAUAGCAGGAAAAUAAUGGAAUCUGAUUCUCCCACCGUUGCCUGUUUCUGACCAAUUUGUUUCAAAUCAAGCUCAUUCACGUUGCACGUGUAGACUCGAUGCAAGGUUUCCCAAAAUAUUAUGCACAUAAAGAGAACAUGCAGACCAAUGUGAUAACAGAAUAAUGGCUUCAAUUAGUUGUACUUAUUAGUAUUAUUUACAGUAAUUCUUUAAGGUUAUCAUCAACUGCUGAAAUGAAGACUAUUUCUUUCUACAAUAAAAUUUUUAUACGCAUAAAUGAUAAAGUUUAAAUUUAUUUUAUUCAGGCUAACACAUGUUAAUUGAUCUAUAUUCACCUACCACACCAAAUUAAAAAUAAUAAUAAUUUUUAAAAAUUAUGAGUUCCGCCGUUGUUAAAAAGAAAGAGAUAUAUAUGAAUGAAGUGAUCACAAUUUUAUAUUAAUAAAAUUUUUACUUUUAAUUAUAUUAUUUUUUCUUCGAUCUCAAUUUUUUAAUUAACUUUAAGUUUUUAAUAUUUAAAUAUUGAAAAAAUAUAUAUAUUUUUAAUCCCUCACAAUAGACAUCACAAAAACAUGACUAACAAUAUGUUCUAAAGAAUUAAAAAUAAAUAUUUUUACACUCAGGACCAAAAUGUUCCACGGUGAAAUACAAGAAAUAAAAUCAAGAAUUUUAUAAAAUAUAAAAAAUGAAAACAUAUUUUUUUCUUAAUCUUUUCAUCUCAAAUCUCAACUAUUCAUAUUCUUAAAUUAAUUAUUUUUUAAGAAUUUAUUUUACUUUAAGUAAGUAUUACUUAAUUAUUUAUUUUACUUAAUUGAUUUUUUUUUUAUAAUUUUACAUAUUUUCAAUUUACAAUCAUAAAUUUUAUUUAAAUGAAACUAUCUGUACAAUUCACAUUCCUCGGGUGGACCGUGGGCGACGCUGGGUUCGUCGUGCCCGACAAUUUAAGAGCCAAGGGCAGAAUGCGCGUGUGCUGAACUUGACCAAUUGCCUAUUGGAGAAUUUCUACUUAAAAAAAAAUGGUUAACAAUAUUCAAAUAAGAGUUUCAUAUAUUUUUUAUCAAUAAGAAUAAAAAACAAAUGUUAAUAAUUUAUAAUAACUCGUACAUUUUAUCAAUCAAUUUAACUAUACCACAUGACUAAAUAUUUAUUAGUUAUUGAAUAUCUUAAUAAAUUUUAGAAUAUUUAUUAUAAAACUAAGAACGAAUAAAUUUUCAUUUAUAAUUUAUUUUAAAUAUGAAAUUGAUAAAUUUUAGGAUUCUACAUUUUUAUUUCAUUUAAUAUUUUUACAAAAUCUUAUUUGAAUUCAAUUUAUAUGCACUAAAAUAUUUUUUACAUAGAAAUGAAUAAAAAUCAACUUUAUCGUCACAUUAUAUUACCGUAUGUAUGGACAUGUACACGUCUGAUACUUGUGUAUAAGAAAUAAAUUACAUCAAAUUUGGUCAAUAACAUAGAAUCGACACAAGUUGAUCUACUUAAUGAUAUUUAAUAUAUUUUUAUUUAUUAAAAGAAAAAAUAUUUAAUUUGAUUCAAAUUAAAUCCAAUUGUGUAACAAAAAAAAAAAAACAAUCAAUUUGAUGUAAUCCAAUAAAUACCACAAAGUUUCCUAAAACAAACAAAUAAAUAGACACCCUCACACCCCUAACUAUUGGCAUGUAUCUUAAACUUUUAUUAAUUAUAAGAUUGGCAUGAAAGUAUUUACUUUAUAUCUUUAUUUUACAGUAUUUACUUUAUAUCAUAAAGUUGGCUUUUGUGAGAGAAUUACCUGCUUUGUGCUUCUUCGCUUAUUGUAUCUUCAACUUUCUAAAAAUUGUUCUAGGAUAGAAACAAUAAGUUAGGUUCACGUGAGACAAGAUUUGAGGUGGUUGGAAGUUGGAAACGAGGGUUUGUACUUCAUUGAUCAUUGCUGGAUUCACACUCGAGUGCAUCGUGUUUACAAAAUUCGGAGUAUAUGUUUGAUAAACCAUAAGACAGACAGACACAAGGAGAACGUACGACUUGAAAACGAAAUUAUUUUAACUCUUGGAAGUCUACUCGUAAGUUGUAUAUAUAAGCGUGUAAAUUUGAAUUGCAUAAAAAUUGCAACUCCAUCCUUCUCUACAAUUCUGUUCCUCUCCCUUAAUCAAUCCUCUCUAUAGCAACUCUUAAUUUAUGAAGAUACAAAAUAUUGACAAACUGACCUAGGCCUACCUAGAUUAAAUUGUUUAAAAACUUAAAGAAUCAUCCAAUGCUAUAUCUUCUUUUCGUUGUUGUGAAGACACGAUUCUUUGAACCAAUAUAUCUAAUGCUUCCUUCAUCCACCAAUGCUGACAAACUUCUCUAGCUUCAGCAACAGUCAUCUACAAAAGUGACCACAAAAAAAAUAUUAGGAAAAUUUGCAAAUUACGUGUUUUUAAAAAUCAAGUAACGUACAUGUGUAAAAUAAGAGUAGGGCCCAAACAUACCCAUAUUCUUCUCCGUAGAUUUUUCUCGGGCCAUGUAUCAAGUUGUUCCUUGACAAACAUGGGGAACAUGUGUCCUUCAUAGUAUAUGCCAUAUCUUUUGCUAAUGAAAUUCCAUUGUCCUAGUUCACUCUGCAUAUGAAUAACAAAACUACAUUUAAGUUUCAAUGUAUAACCAAAUCUUUUGGAAACAGAAAAGAAAAAAAAAAUCUGAUGAAGAAAAUAUAUACCUCAAUGAUUCCCAAUACUCCUGCUUCUUCAAGGGAUUCCCUACAAGCUGCUUCUUCUACAGAUUCAUCAAGUUCCCAUCCUCCCUGAGAUCAGAUAAAUAGGAUGUUAAUUAAUGUGGUACGAAAUUAAAUGACCAAUGAAUACCAAAUUGAGCAUAUAUAUAUAUUCAAAUGAAUACAACUAGUUAUAGCAAAAGUACCUUUGGGAACAUCAAUCCUCGACCUUUCUGUGAACUAACCACUAGCACUUCCAAUUCGUUGCUCAUUUUACCAUCUAUGUCUUCUUUAUAUCUAUAAGGUAUGCAACUGCGGAGAUGGACAUUAUAAUAACCGAGUAAAUUAGGGAAACAAACAAAAAUGAAUGAUAAAUUGCGCUGAAGAUAUAUACAGUACACAACAUGCAUAUGCAUGAUAGAGUAAUCAAUUAAUAUAUCUAAUAUUUGGAUCUAUGACCCUUUUCAAUGCCAAAACAAAAAAUCGGGAGAUACAUAGAAAAAGUGCGCCAUCAGGGACCUACCAAAUAAUUAAUCCUAUUGAAAAUAAAUUGACCCACGUGAAAAACAAAAUGAAACAUUUCGAAGACGCAAUAAGACACAAUAGCGACCGAUCGAACUCACCCAACAACUUGCCGGCCACCCAUGUUGUUGUACCUCUGCAAUUCCCUUCCUGAGCGAGAUACCAAGCAAGCCAUCUUUCAAAUCAAUUAAGAAAACUCAAAGAAAGCAAGAAUAUAGAAAAGAAGAAGAGUAGAGGGAUGAAAAUAAUUAAGUUAAUUAAUUAGCUAUAGAUAUAAUUAUGAUCGAUCUGUGUGAUUAGUUGGAGAUAUAAGAGAAUAAAGCUAGGGUGAAGAUAAAGAGUGACAAGAGGAAGCCAUAUAUAGAAUAUAAGCGUUGAGGUAAGCAAGCAAACCCAUCUGAAACGCGUAAUUGUCGCCUUCCUCGAGCCCCAUGUAUCUUUAAACAUCUAUAAUAUAAUAAUUAACCAAAAGUUGUUAAAUGGACCAAAUAUAUAGAAUAAAAUAAAAUUGAGAUUGAGGAUUCUCUAUCGUUUCGCCAACAAAUUGUUUACAUUUGGCGUGGCAUAUUAAUUCGCAUUGCAUUAUUAAGUCAACAUUAAUAACUUGCUGUUGCUAUGCUAAGUUCAUGAUCAGUUUAGCUAGCAAAAAAGAAUAUUACUUUGUGGGGUGAAGUUUUAUUUAAUUUAUUUAUUAGCAACACAGCAGUCUCUACAUUAGAGUCGACACGGCCUGAUAGAAUAUGAUCCCAAGUUGACUUUGGAAAAACACGUUAAUUUCUCCCAUAUGUAUGGCUUCUCACUCUACUUUCAUAAUUGCACCCUGCUGGAUAAUGACCAUGGAUGGAACCACUCACAACGGUUUUUUUUUCUUUCUUUCUUUCUUUCUAACUUUCAAAAUAUAAUAGUAUGUAUUUUGUAUAAAUGGGCUUCAAAAAUAGUAAAGAGAAAAAAUUAUGUUCUCUCAAAUGAAUUUAAUUAUUUCCAUCCUUUUUAUCUAUUUUAUUUUCUUCUUUCUCUUAUAAUAUGUUAUGAAAAAUAUUUUCUUUUUUUGUUUGAAAGAAGACAAAACACUACAAGUUGUAUUAAGAAAUGUAAUAUUAUCAUUAUCAUGUUAUACCAAAAGAAAUUAGUUUAGAACAAAAUAUCUUACAAUUUAUUAUUAAUUUGAAAAAAAAAUUUAAAGUAAUAUAACCUAAAAAUACGUCAAGUUAAUUUCUAAACCUUGAACCUUAUUUGAUAUGAAUUGACCUUUAACAUCCAUGAUAAAUUUGAUAACAAUUAAAGAACUAUAUUAAUGACAAACAAAAAAAUUAUAGAGACUAAUGUAAUAACACUCGUAUCUUUAGAGGCAAAGAUAAAAGUUUAUUCUAAAAAAAGAUAACCUGCCUAACUCCCAAUCACACCACACAUAAGACAGGGUCGGGUUAACAAACAACUAAUAAUAAUGACAAUUUCUCCCCACAAAGAAAAAAAAUUAUGAUGAUUUUGGUACGGCCCAUCCAAAACAUAAUAGGCCGCAAGGACCGGUCCAUAUUCAACUCAGUAUGGGUAAAUGAACAAGCCCAACAUUGUUAUUCUCACCUUCCAUUUUCUAAGUUGGCCCUCUAACAUCGAAUGAUUUUCUUUUAUCAAAAUACCCUUGAUGAAAAUGUAUUUUCAAAUAUGUAUCUUGACAAAGACAGGUUUUUGUCAAGACACACAUCAAAAAAUUAUUUUCUUAAUGUACCUAGACAAGAGUUGUCAAGAUAAAAGACAAGAACAUAUUCUCAUUGUGUACCUCAACAAAAUCUUGUCCAAAUACAAGAAACAUGUUUUCAUUUUGACAAUGUCAUAACUGAUUGUUAACAACACACACACAUAUGGAUGUACUUAUUUCUAUGAAUAAAUAAAUUCAUCUUAAAAUAAGUUUAUCUUUCAAAUACGUAAAACUAUCUACUCUUAAAAUUUAAGAAUCGGUUUAAAACUGUCUCAUAUUAGAUCAUUUUUCUUAUAUAAAUAACAUUAAUAUUUAGUUCAACCGGUCAGUCAAACUCAUUCGGCUUGUGAAUAACUUUUAGUCUAGGUUAAGUGAAUUUUCCAUAACACCAAAUUUUAAUGUUUUAUGCCCGCCCAACCGGGCAAGAUUUAUUGAUAAAAAAGUCAAUCAAUUUCACAAAUAAUACAAAGAACAAAUAUAUGACACUUUUGCUAAUUAACUUACCAUUUUUCAUCAACUAUACAUUACGAUUGUCCUACACAUUCCGUUCAAGUUCUAUUUUCUUGAUUAAUCCUCUCAUUUUCAAUCCACAAAAUAAUUAAAUUUGAUACUUUUUAGAUAUCAAAAACUAAACUAAACUAAUGAAACUAGUUACCUCGAAUUAACUGAUUGUUCAGUUCUUAAUUUUGUCAAAGUUCAGUAGCUAGUAUAGAUGAUUGGAGUAUACAGGUCAACUGCUUUUAUAUUUUGCCCCUUUGUUUGUCUUUUUCAAAGUUCUUUUUGUUGACUGGUCUCCCAAAUGAACCUAUCACACGUUUAUGAACCAUUGACAAGACAAUUUAAUGGGUUGCAAUAGGCCAUAUAAUUAAAGUAUUGCCAUCACAAGUCACAAAGACAUUUGGAGUCAUACCAGCACUAAUUUGGCAGCCUAAGAUUUACUAGUUGCUUGCACCAAGGAAUAAAAAAUAGGACCAACUGUUUGAAAAAUCUGUAAAGAUUUGACCCAAAAUUGGAUGUGGAAAAUAGAAAACAAAUGGCAAAUGUGAACAAAAAAGUAGAAAACAAUAAGGCAAAGUGGAUGUGAAUAGACCAUAAAAUAUAUUGAAUAAGUGGAUCUGGUAGGUUUCUAUUGGUUUAAGUGGCUUCCCUAGUGGUCGUUUUAGGUGGAUCAUGGCCACGGAUGGAGGGUGGUAGAAGUUUGAUUUUGGAGCAUUCUUAUGUCGUGGAAACCAUUUCUCAGUACAGAAGGGACAGCUUAUAGAGCGUAAAUAGGAAACAUAUGUGAAAUUUUUCUGACUUUUCAUUGUCACAUCACAUAAAUAUUAAAUGGAUUGAUGCCUAUCAUUUCUUUUGUAAACACGACGGCUUUCCUCCACGUGUUCGAUCAACUUCCAAUCUCAAUCUUACAUGAUUGAUAUUUUAUUUUAUUUAGCUACCAAAACUUAAUAUAGAUCGAGGAUCAUGAUCAAUUAUGUUGUCAUUAUUAAAUUUAGAGAACUUGAAAGGUACUAGUAAAUAUUAUUUUAAAAUUUAAUUGAUGCAUAUAAAUAUUUUUUUAAUUUUAACAAUCAUAAAAAAAAUGAAAUGUGAGUUUUUAUUUUCUCAACACUUUGUGUAGCAUACUAGCAUUACAUAAAAUAAGAUUUUUUUAAUAGGUAAAAUAAUGUGUUGAUAAGUAUUGUAUAUUGGACUUGGACAUUUGGAGUUGAAUUAAUAUUGCAUAGGUGAAAAGAAAUUCAUUUAUCAUGGUUUUCUCAAAAAUAAAUAUAUAUAAAUAAGUUAUUUUUAAGAGUUUUUCAUAAAAAGUGUUUGGCCUAACUUAUCCUUUUAAGAAGACAUGCUAAAAAAACUAGACCAAAAGAGUGAGGAUUAAAAGCACAUAAAGGGUCAAAUAUUUAAGAACUUAGAAAGUACUUAACAUUUUAUAAAAUUUUGAAAAAAAGUUAUAGCACCUCUAUUUCUGUAUCUAAUCAAUUUUGGGAAAACAUUAAAUUUUCUAAAGAAACAAUAUGCCAAUUAAUUGGUGCACAUCAAUAUAACUUUUUGUGAAGUUUUAUAUUAAAAAAAUUGAAAUGUGAUUGUUUUUUUUUUUUGUUAAGACUUAUACAUAGCAUUACCCCCAUAAACCCAUAAAAUAAGAUUUGUUCAUAAAUAUUGUAUUGUGUAUUGGACAUUUGGCGUUGAAUGAAUAUUUGCAUUUGCAAAGGUAAAAGGAAAUAAUUAGUCAGGGUUGUCUGCUUUGAUUUGUUUCUUGGUUAUUAAUAGAAAAGAAAGCAACAAAUUAAAUGGGUCAGAUUUGUAAUUAAAUUAAAGUAUAUCAUAUAUGGAGGGUGAUUGUUUUGAUAGGAAAUAAACAAAAUAAUAACAUUUUAGGGGGCAUGGAUUGAAACGCGUGCUUCAAAUCCUUUCAAGGUGAGGACGGGUAUUACUUCUCCAUAUCUCGAUUCUCCAACAUAUAUCUGUAUCUGUUUUUUGAUACUUGAUGGGUUAAGAUUUGAUAUCCUAUCCGUACUUAUUGGGUAUCGGGUAUCCUAUCCUUGUCCCGUCACUUGUUUAGAUUUGUAAACAAGUUUUUUUUUAAAUUAUAUUAAAAAUCAUAUUUAAAAAAAAAUGAUUGUUACCAUUUGUUUAACUACUUCUAUUUGCAGGACAUUUGUUUACAAAAACCAUCAAGAAAGAAAUCUUAAAUUACGUAAAAAAUUAUAAAAAAAAUUAAUAAGUAAUUAAUAAAAUUUUAAUAAUUUUAUCAUCGAAACGGUAUGAAAAUGAAUAUGAAACAGGUACUGACAUCUCUGUCCUCAACCCAGACCCCGAUUAAAAAAAUCUAAUAAUCCUCAAAUCCAAACCUAAUCAACUCAAAUAUUUCCGGUCAAAAUCAUAACCGAUUUAAACAAUCAUUUUCAUGCCUACAUCCAAAUGGAGAAGGUGGACGGGAAGGAGCCCAUAUAAAACUUCCUUUUUUUAUAAUAAAUAAUAAAUAAAGAUUUUUUUUCCUUAUUUCCUCUCUCUCAAAAUCUGAUAUUUCUUUCCUUCUUCCGGGUAUAUAUAUAUAUAUAUCCUUGAAUAGGUAUCCCUAACGCCAAAAUUACAUUUCACACAUAUUUGGUUCCUGUAAAAGGCUCUGUUUGUGAGUUUGCAGAAGAAGAUGGAGAACAGGACCCCUACUCCUCCGCGAGAGGGUUGCAUGGGUUUUGCAGUUCACAGCCAAGUGAUCAAAAUUAAGGAAGAAAUUGAGAAAAUAAAGCACCCUUCACUUCAGCUACACAUGAGGCGUGCCCUUCUCAGAGAUGUCAACCACCUUCACUCUCGCUCACCCCUCGGAUUGGCAGACAGAGACAGGGCUAUCCUUAGAUGUUAGAAACUUACUAUAGACACACAGACAUGUACAUAUAUAUAUAUAUAUAGAGAGAGAGAGAGAGAGAGAGGGAGGGAGAGAGAGGGAGAGAGAGAGAGAGAGGGAGAGAGAGAGAGAGAGACUUCCCUUGGAAGGAAGUUUCAACUAUCAUAUGAUAUAUAAUCCUUCUGUUUCUUUUAUAUUCUGUGUUUCUUCUUCUUGUUUGUGUACUUCCUUGUACAUGUUUUUGGUGAUAAAAGUUUACAACAUGGUUUCUCUAAAGUCUUUAACACCCUUUUUAACUCAUAAUUUCUCCAUGUGUAUAUCUUUUUGCAAACACCGGAUUCUUCCUAUAAUUUUUAAUUCUUUAGAGGGCAUACAUACAUGGUGCAUCAGAUUGUCAUAAAAUGAAUCCUGCGACUUAACAAAUACUAGCUUUUAGUAUUUGGUCGGGAAAAGGGAGGAGAAGAUUCGUUGUCCCUGUCUAUAAAACAGAUUUUCUUUAAACCAUUCUCUUGUUGUAUGUCACACGGUUUGAAGCCAACUAUUAGAUUGGACCGAAAAAUGAACAGGGCAAAACAUAUUAUUGUGUUUCCAAACGCUCCCUUAUGGCAAAGAUUAAAUCUAACACGGAACGUCACGUUACAACUAACCGUGCUUAUGCCACGUCAAAAAUAAUAAAAGACGAAAUUCUCUACCUCCACGUCUUAUUCAAACUCGUUGUCUGGUUAUUAUUAUUCAUGAGAGCGAGACUGAAAGAGAGAGCCAUGCCAGUGGGGUGUAACUUUUCUAUUUAUUUUUUACUUUCUUUCCGCUUAUCUUAACCAAGG
Molecule: long non-coding RNA, 70048 nt
Filed under: Glycine max (soybean)
Lineage: Eukaryota; Viridiplantae; Streptophyta; Magnoliopsida; Fabales; Fabaceae
Description: long non-coding RNA (GMAX_LNC001134)
Source: RNAcentral